Molecule: long non-coding RNA, 66608 nt
Filed under: Fragaria vesca (wild strawberry)
Lineage: Eukaryota; Viridiplantae; Streptophyta; Magnoliopsida; Rosales; Rosaceae
Description: long non-coding RNA (FVES_LNC003222)
Source: RNAcentral
AUUAAGCUGUACCAAAAUAUAUAUUAUAUCUAACAGAUUAGGAAAUAAGAAUCAGUUUGGGAACGUUUGUCUAACUAAGUAUAUAUAAUGUCUGUCAUGAGUUUAGUUGAAGGAGCUCUUCCCUAAUGUAUAGGUUAUCUUGCAUCCCUUAUCCCUAAUGUGCAUUUGUUCAAUUGUUCACUUGUUUGUUUUUUUGUUUGCAAAAUAUGUUUUAAAAAGCUUUUCCAUUAUACAUAUAUGAAUAUAAUUUUUGAAGAUUAUGUAUUUCCGACAAAACAUUGAUUUUAUCGCGUAGUUAACACGAUCAUGAAUGGCUACUAGAUACUCUCGACAUUGAUGGUCGACGUGUAUAACUAAGUACCAUGUUUUCCGAUAAAGAGCUUACGUGUUACCUUAUUCUUUUCGUGUUAUUUUUUGGUUCGUUAUGUAUUUAAUGGUCUAUAAAUAAGGGAGGACAUGAGUGUUAAGAAUCAGAACCAUUUUGAUUUACUCUCAAACAUAUACUUACGUCCCUGGUCUCGAUCCUUUUGUUCAUUCAUUCCUUAAUGGUGAUUUUCUGUGGCAUGAAACCUUGUUUCUCCAAGUUGGUCAUGAAGGAAGACCAAGUUCCAACUCUCCUCUUUCUCUAUACAGAAAAUGAUGGAGAUGACGACGAUGACGAUGAUGAUGUAGCACCAGCAGCAUAGAGUGCAACAUUUAUAUAUGUUACGAAUAAGAGCAUACGUGUUUGAUACUUCAUCAUCAACAUGAGCUCACGAAGAUAACAUUUUACAGAAGUAGUAAGAUUCAUCAUCAUAUCAGCAUAUAUAUAUACAUAUGUACGUAUGCAGGUUUCUUAUAUGUCUAUAAAUCCCAAUAUAUUAAGAGGUGCAACUGUAUUGCAUCAUUUGCACGUAUAUGUAGAAAUGAUAUAUGUAAUAAGUACGUAUACGUACUCGUGUACUUGAGAUUGUUAAGAAUAUUAUUGAUCACGCUUUGUUGGUCUGUGUUUUGCUCUUCCACCUAUAUAUAUAUAUAUAUAUAUAUAUAUAUAUAUAUAUAUAUAUUACUUACUAGUAGUAGUAAGUAGUAGUAGUAGUAGUUACUUAUAUAAGUAGUAAGUAACGUAAACGUUAACGUAACGUAAAGUAAACGUAAAGUAACGUAGGAAGUAGGUAACGUAACGGAACGUAACGGUAACGGUAACGUACGUAAGUACGUAGUAGUUAGUACGACGUAACCGAACCGUACGUAACCGUAACGUAACGUAAGGUUACGGUACGUAAACCGAACUUAAACGUUUAACUUAAUUAAGUUAAGUUAAGUAAAGUAAGUAACGUACGUAACGUACGUUACGGUUAGUACGUUAACGUUAACUACGUACUUAACCUAACCUAAACCUUAAAACCGUAAGGUAACGGUUAACCGUACCCGUAAAACCGGAAACGUAAAACGUAAAACGUUUUAAAACUUUAAACGUUAACGUAAGUAAAGUAAAGUAAGUACGUACUACUACUACUAACUACUAGACACGUAUAUAAUAUAAUAACUAUAGUACGUUACGUUACGUACGUACGGUUACGGUUUACGUUUAACUUAGUUNUCGUAAUACUAACUACUACUUAAUUAAAGGUUAAGGUACGGUAACGAACGUAACGUUAGUUACGUACGUACUACUUAUUACUCGUACGUAACUAGUUAGUAAGUAAGUAAGUAAGUAAUAUUAAGUUAAGUUAAACGUAACGUUAACGUUAACGUACCGUACGUUACGUUACGUUACGUAGUAGUUAGUAAGUAAGUUAAUUAUUAGUACUACACUCGUUGUUGUGUGUUGUGUCUCUACUACUAUAUAUAUAUAUAUAUAUAUAUAUAUAUAUAUAUAUAUAUACCUUUAUACAGUGAAAUGAGUGAGAUCUUUACAGUAAAUUUGCAAGAAAGUUUCACAAGGUAUAUAGACAAGUAGAAUCCAAAACGUCAAUCUUCUUUCGAAUUAGCUAGAUGGAUAUAUACUCUUUUCGAUGUUUUGGUCAGAUAAGUCAUUCUAAUGCAAGCUCCAGCGUGUCAGAUGACACUGGAGAUUGGGAGUGUGCAUGGACUGUUCCAUCCACGAAUGGAAUGUGCAGCGCAGCUACUUGCCUUUUCGAAAAACGAAUGGUGAAUCCGUUCACCAUGCAUCCCUUUCGUGCUCUCGUUUUCGACACCAUAUCAAAGUAAAUAUCUCUGCAUAAUCAGUAAUUCCGGCAUUUCCUUAUAAAUAUAAGGUGAAGAUCUCCUAGCUAGCUUCAUAGAUUCAAAACAAACAAUGGCGAGUUGUCCUAUCAUGAGUUCUGGCAAGUUGGUUGAUGGCAGCAGGGUUCGGGAUCCGUAUCACUUCACCGGAAUCACGAUCUCUCUCCUCCAUGUUCAUGAAGAAAAUGACGAUGACGACUCCGAUGAUGAUGCAGCCAGUGUUGCUCCAGCCGCAUAGCUACAGAUCAGUUCUCCGAUUGGCAUGAAAUAUGCAUAUGCUACAGAUCAGUUUUCCCGAUUGAUAUACAUAUGAGCUAGCUACGUACUGCAGCUCCUGUAGCUAGUAAUACAGUCACUUCGUAUGUGCUUAGUUGUAUUAUCCUCUUCUAUCUCAGCUCUCUUUUUAGUCCAUGGAGAGUUGGGCAUAUUAUGACCAAAAGAAAAAUGAUCGUUUAGAGGUUGAUCGAUUAUUGAAUUGUUAACUAUCUAUCUUCCCCUACAAAGUCAAUAAUGUUAAAAAGAUUCACCAAAUUUUCGAUGUCCAAAAUUUUCACCUUCUAUUUGUGUAGUAGAUUUAUGUUAUUAUGUUCCGACACUUACCCCAUUAAUCAGAAUUAGGUUGAGUUUAGGGUUUAAACUCCAUGCAUAUACAUUACACUUGCCAUAAUUUAUGGUUGGUCCUAUAUAUAUGUUUCUGUAUGUACUCCUCCUCUUUCAUUUCUCGAAUAGAAGGGUUUUCUUCUCGAUGUAAAACUUCGCUAAACACCUAGUCCAUAACCGUCAAACAAGCUCAUGAGCAACAACCAAUACUGAGCAAAACAAUGCACUCAGUCACUCACAGAUAUAUUUCAUGUAAUGGUAGUAAACUAGUAAUAUAUGUGCAAGAAAAAAAUAAUUAAACACUCAAUAGUUUGCGCAUUCGUACGCGUUUCUAGAUCUGGCCUCGUGAAAUCGACUCCAUGUCUGUAACUUAUAGCAAUUUAGCACGGUUUUCCGGUCAGAUUCAAGCUCGAAUCCAAGCCUAACCCACCUCCAUCACUCACAGUACGUGCUAUAAAUAUGAGGAGCUGCUAAACCCUUCGCUUCAAAACACGAGCUAAGCUAGCUACUAUGAGUUUGAGUUUGAGAGAGCCUGAGAAGGUUGGAGAGAUCGAAGAAUCGAUUUUGCUGUUGGUGGUUUUUUCAUUCUCUAGCGAGCUAGCUUUCCAUUCGGUUCAUUUUUCUUGUUGAGCUUGGUCUUUGUUAAUCUGUGUUGUUCUUGUUUCUUACUGCAAGUAGUUAGGUUGGACAUGUAUAUUCAAUGGAGAAGUCGAGUGUGAAGAACUUGGAGGCCUGUGUUCGGUAACUGACCAGGUGAACGUUAUUGACCAAAUUAGAUAGAAAUUAAUGAAACAAGCAGAUCAAAUGAGACUAUUAAUGAGGCGCACGUCAAAUCGACAGUGUCCAAAUAUUUGGUUAAAAAAUGUGCAUUUACAAUGAUCAAAUUUAAAAGUAAGAGUUUGAUUAGUGGAAUCUAGAUGAUACAUUAGCAUGCAUAAGUACUAAAUUCCGUCACAAUUCUAAAUGACAAAUAAUUUCUCUCACAAGCAAUAUUUAUGAUCUAAGCAAUGACAAAAUUGUUCAUUACGCAUAAUACCGUUUGGUCUAAUGACCUUAGUUUUCUCUUUAUAGGUAAGAGGUUGUAUUUAACUUAAGAAAUACUAGUUGUAAUUUGAGUUAGUUGGUGUAAUGAACAAAUUUUUGUUGUUACAAUGAAGUUGUGUGACGAAGUUGCAUUUUAAAUCAUUCCGUCUAUAUGUAUAUAUCAUGUUAAGUGUUAUAAAACUUACUCACAUGCUAUUUAUGAUAUGAUCAACAAUGAGAUUAUUUUGUACAGUGAAGUUCCAUUUUGUCUUUUUUUUUUUUUUUCCUAACCAAGGAAAAUGUAGAAGACAAAAGAAGACAAAAGAAGAUAGGGGCCAUCAUUUUUACCAAGUACCAUCCCCUUCAGUUAGGGGCAACACAAGACAAAAGAAGAAAGGAGGUGUGCCAAAACUGAAAUGGCCUCAUUUUAUUUCUCUCUAGGCUUGCACGUUCGGCCCAAACAAGACUCGUUCUUAAAUCACUUCCGUCCAAUGCAUUCGGCAGAUUCAGUUUUAGUCAAUCUCACACAUAAAAGCUCCUCUGUUUUGGUGACUUGAUAUGAAAAUGGCGCAUGCAGAUCAAGCCGUCCGCGUUAUCCUGUGUCGCUGCCUGAAACUGGAAGUACAUUUUACAUGUUCAACGUGUACAACGUAAGGACCAUGUUUCAUGUUUCUAACUUCUCUCUUCUCAGCCCAACACACAUAUCUCUACUAUUUUCAACUAGUGUUUGAUUUCUCAAACCUUUGUCUCUUCCUCUCCUAACUUCUGGGGACUAUAAUUUCUAGCCUCUUGGUUCAGUUUUGAGCACAAAGCUCUUCAAUUUCAGAGAGCCAUUGACAUUCUGUAGAAUUGGGGGAGUGAUGGCUAUGCAUGUUAGCAGUGCAGGGUUUUCUAUUUUUAGUCACAGGAGAGUUAAUAGAGUAAGAGCUGUUGCUUCUGAAAAUGUGAGCAUAGAGGAACAGAAGGUGCAAUUGGGGGCUUCUGAGUUGAAGGUGACAAAGCUUGGGAUUGGAGCUUGGUCUUGGGGUGACACCAGUUAUUGGAACAACUUCGAUUGGGAUGGUGAGUUUGCUCAAUUUUCAAUUAUGUAAGAUUCACAAGAUUGAAACUUUGAGAAUUAUUUGAAGGGUAAGUUGCUCAAUUAUACAUAGGAAAGACUGAAAAGAUUGAAAUUUGAGAUACCCUUUUGAAAUUGGUGAUUUAUUGUUGUACAAUUGUGGCUAAAGUUAGCUUUCCAGAGUUCAUGUGUUCACUUUUUCCAUUUAAGAGAGUGUUUAUGUUAAUUUAGCUUGACUUUGAGAACCUGUGUUUACAAUGUAAAGCCAAAGUGACUUUAAAUUGAAAAUGAGAAGAAGUAAGCUGUAUUUGAAAUUUGCAGGAAUUCAUAUUUAUGAAAUGGUAAUUGUUGUAGUUGUUUUAUGUGGCCUUAUGUAACUUUCUUGGCCAAUGAAUCUUAAAAUUUAAAUUUCAAACAGUACGAGUUAGAAACAAGUGCCCAUGUAUGUUUGAAGAAUUUCAAGGAUUGUGGAAGCUUUCUAGUUUGGAUUAUCAAGUACUUUAGGUUAAGUUGUUUAAAUUUGAGUGAAGGAAAUGAAAUAUUGUGCUCAUGAUUGCAAUAAUGUUUUGUGAGAAUGGCAGAUAGGAAAAUGAAGGCUGCUAAGAAUGCUUUUGAUGCCAGCAUUGAUGGUGGCAUUACCUUCUUUGAUACUGCUGAAGUUUAUGGCUCCAGGGUGAGAAAAUCGUGUCUUGUAGUUUGUUUGUUGUUUUGUUUCAGUCAAAUAGAUGCCUAGAUUUUCUUCGGAUAAUCCAAUCAAAAUCAUCAUUUUCCACUAUUGCAGGCUUCUUUUGGCGCUAUAAAUUCUGAAACUUUACUAGGAAGGUACAUUCUGGGAUUGUGAUCUUGUCUCAUUCAACUCUCUAGUCAGCAGACAGUGCAACUAAUCAUGGUUGCUUUCUGCUUUUUGAGAAUAUUAGCAUUCAAAUCCAGUGAAUUUCUUACAGAUUUAUCAAGGAAAGGAAAGAAAAGGAUCCAGAAGUGGAGGUUGCUGUUGCAACCAAAUUUGCAGCUUUGCCUUGGAGGCUGGGUCGUCAGAGCGUCCUCUCUGCCCUGAAGGGUUCCCUCAGUCGCCUUGGUCUUUCUUCAGUAGAACUGUAUCAACUCCAUUGGUAGGUCUUUACGAGACUUUCAUAUGCUCUUUCUACAAGCAUAUAUAUUUCUGCUAAUGUAACCACUAACUACAAUAGCUAAUCAAGUUUGUAUCUUGAUUUCAGGCCAGGAGUGUGGGGAAAUGAAGGUGGUUCAUCUGUAACAUCAAUUUUAUAUUUAACAAUUAUUUGUCCAGGUGAUAACUACAUAUGUUAAUCACCUUUGUAUCUGAAGAGGCUUAAUCCUUUGGAAUAAAUCAAUUUUCAGGAUAUCUUGAUGGUCUUGGAGAUGCUGUUGAGCAAGGCCUUGUGAAGGCAGUUGGUGUCUCAAAUUAUAGAGGUAUAAUCACUUUAUUAUUGAUAAAAGUGGGCAGGUCGAACGAUGAUAUACUUUCUCUACAAUAUAAACAUCCUGUCUCUUUCUUCUUUACUUUAGCAAGCAAAGAAGAACUGCAUGCCCCUCUAUAAUUGAUCAGAACAUGAUGCAUAAAGUUCUUCGUUUCAGAAAAGAGAUUGCGUGAUGCCUACGAGAAACUCAAAAAGAGAGGUAUCCCCCUAGCGUCAAACCAGGUGAAUUACAGCCUCAUAUACAGGGCACCAGAGGAGAAUGGAGUUAAGGCUACCUGUGAUGAACUUGGAAUCACUUUGAUUGCCUAUUCACCUAUUGCUCAAGGUGGAGUGUGAAACUUUUGCUGUAUUGCAUUUACUAUUAUCAUUUUCACUCAAUAUGGCAAGAAGUUAUAUUCUUCUCAGUUCACAGCAUUCAAGACCCUCUCUGCAUAAGCUUUUAAAAAUUGACACUGGUUUAGUUAUUUAUAUCAACUUAGUAAAGGUAUAAACUCAGGAGAAAAAGAAUAAAAAAAUAAUUGAGGUUAGAAAAACAGGCUUGCUCACCUUUUGCUAUCAGCGGCUUGAUUUUAUGACAUUUAAGUAGUUAUCUUAACUGCAGCACUAUGAUCUUAUUACUUUUCUGGUUCUACCGUGAGAACUUUAUUCAGGCACUUAAAACUUCACCAUCCUACCAUCCUAUCUCUCUUCUGUAUUCCAAUGCCUUUUCUUAUCGGUUUGGUUAUGGUUGAAUUCAACUACUGAUGGAUAAGUGGUAAUGUUGCAUGGUAAAUCUCUUACGUGAGUCAUCUGAGCAAUAUAUAUGAAUUCAUCUAUUUGAUGUUCCACUUGUAUUGAAUUCAACUACUGGUGAAUAAGUGGUUAUUACUUUACUAGUUUUACAAAACAAGUCAAACGUCCGCCUUUCCCCCCCUAACUGGACAGUUUUACAGCUGUUCGGAGGCAAAAGGAUGUGAAUACUUGAUUACUUUAGUCUGUAUAGCUUAAUCUAGCACUGCCCUGGGUAUGAUGAUUAUAGAUUUAGUCUUUGGGUAUUAGGAACUCCUUUUUGACAUGGUGUGAGAGAUAUGAGAAGAUUGACAUUUCAACUAUUGUACGUAUGCAGGUGUUCUUACAGGAAAGUAUACACCUGAAAACAUUCCAACUGGCCCUCGAGGCCAAAUUUACACUCGUGACUUUCUUACAAAGGUAAACCAUAUUUACUUAUUCAUCAUUUUGAAUGUCGAUUACACAGUGCUGUUUUACAGCUAAAAUAUCAUGGUGAUAUGCAGCUUCAACCACUGCUGAACAGAAUCAAGGAAAUAGGAGAAAAGUACAGUAAAACACCUACACAGGUUUGUGCAUGUUUUUAACUACUCUAUACAAGCCUGAAUUUUGUUGAUGCUGUGGAAACCUGACUAAACAAUUAACUCAAGGUACCUGAAUGUCCUUACAUGAGCAAUUUGACACACAGACGCCAAUGUCAAAUACUGAAAUACAUAAGCACUAAGUGACAAGCUUUUAAUAAAUGUAGACCAACUUUCAGUAGCUUGAUGUAGUUAUUCACACAUCAAUAUUUAAACAAAUCAUUUUGAAGACGCAGAAGUAGGCCCUGAGAUUUUAUAUUCUAGUCUUCUAGACAUGAUUUGUCAUCUUUCAUAAGUUUGAUAGAAACCGGGUUCCUCUUGACAGGUAGCCUUAAACUGGCUAAUAGCCCAGGACAAUGUUGUGCCAAUUCCAGGAGCCAAAAAUGCAGAACAGGCUAUGGAAUUUGCAGGUGCACUCGGAUGGAAGCUCAACGAUGAUGAAGUAACUGAGUUGCGCUCCUUGGCUUCCGAGAUUAGACCUGUAACUGGUUUCCCUGUUGAAAACUUGUAAAAGAUAUACACUAGCAUCUGACAUCUAAGUUGUAAGCUCCUAUAUACAUACAACUACAAGAAUGUAGAAAUACACUUCGGUACAAUAAAAGUACAAAAUUCACAUACUUCCAUCAAAAUGAUUGAUUGUAGGUUGACCAUUCAAUGCCUAUUCACACUUAAGGCAAACUGAAAAUAGUAAUCUCGCCUCAGUCCUUCAUUGUGAAGUCCAAGAUUCCAAAGAUAUGACCUGCAGUGUGAAAUAAUAAAAGCAUUUUGGUCCUCCACCUAUAACUAUAAGCAAACUUAUGGACUCAAUUUGAUAUUAGAACAGCAUUUAAAGGUAGGCCUCCUGGCUGCAACUGUACUGAAAUUGACAAUAGCUCACACCCAAUUUAUAGCCAAGUUCAUAGCAAUCCUAUCAUGUGCUAAGCUAGGAGGCUCUAGUCUCUGCAGAACAAAAUUGGCAAGACUUUAAAGUUCAUGAACACAACCCAUCUCAAAACAAAGAAAAAAAACACACUAUUUAUGAAGACUUUCCUCAUGAGCUGGUACUUGUAGAUCCUCAUGGUUCCAUAGUUGGAAGCAUUGCACUGGUACAUGCACUAGAUUCUAUAGCCCCUCUAAGCAAAUAACUACUAGCUCUCCAAAUUAAUGCUAACAUAAUUCGUACAUGUUGGGAGUGGUACUAUUUUCAAGGACCUUCUAGCGAACUUAAAGGCAUAAGUCCUACAUGGUUGGGCUAAUUCUUCAAGAUUUAGGGAGUGCACUCAUCUGAUUCUUUGCUUGUUUGGUAUUUAAUUUGUAAAGCAAUUCAACAAGAAUCUACCUGCUUCAUCCUUAAGUGAAAUAAUUACUUUCCUACUAAAACUAUUGUUACAGUGAUCAAAUUUGUCUGCUGAAUUUUGUCUUUUUAUAUCUAUUUCUUACUUUCAUAGAGAUAAGAUAAGUGCAAUUUGCAAUUGGCAUCAUCCAGAAUCUAGCCAACAUGUAAUCCCAAAGAAGCUUUGCCUUACUUGGGCCAAUCUCUAAAGUGAGCUGUCUAUAACUUUUGAUGAUACAAUCUUGUUCCUCAUCAUUGUCCAAUAAAAUAUAGUCUGCAAUUGCAGUCGUGGCAUCACCCUCACUCAUUUUCAGAUCACAAUUUGAUUGUCCUCCAAGUUGUAGAUUUGGUUUGCCUCAAAUUAAACCAAUCCCAUUCACCCAAUUCCAACCCUUAUUUACAUUCUACAACAUCCACAACAUAGCACAAUAUACCAAGUGCCACAUGGCAUGCUAGCAAUGCUGCUGUAGAAUUCUCAAGCUCUCUAUGUUACCACCCAAUCUCUGCUCUCUGACCUCUGUGCUAACGUCCCUGUCCUUCCAAACUGGUCUUUAAGGCUCUUUGGUCCUUUCCAAGUUUCUGGUUGCUCUACCAUAACUCUCUCUCUCUCUCUCUCUCUCUCUCUCUCUCUCUNNNNNNNNNNNNNNNNNNNNGCUGGAUUAUUUUAUUCUGGGUUCCAUGGUCUUUUUCUUUCCUAAUUUGGGGUUCUCAAUAUUUUAAUCUAUAGAUUAAUGUGCUGUUGUAAGCAAUUAUAGUAGUUGCAAUAUAAAAGGGAAGGCUUUGCUUUACUGAUGAAACUUGUGUAGUGAUAUUUGGGCUUCAUUCCAUUGGUUCCUCCUAUUCCAUUUCUUAGGAUAGUUCCAAAUUUGGGUAUGCAUCAUUUUUUAUUGGUUUGUGUUUGAUUAAUAAAUUAGUUAGUCAGUUGACUAGUUAAUCAAUUAGUUUCUUUAGUAGUUUUCUUCUAGUUAAGAUAUCUAAUGUCUUCUCUCUUGUUUUACAGGAAAUUCUGUCUGUUCAGACAUGAAUUCUUGCAUUCCUAAUUGGAACUUUGAGGGUGAUCUCCCUUCAACCAACCAAAAGAAACCCUCGGGGUCUGUACUUUCUCUCUUUCUAUAUCUAUCUGUAUAGUAGAGGAAGAUAGUAAACAAAAAUAAUUAAUCUUUAUACUUGUUGAAUUAUCUUGAUUUGGGUGGCAUAUUUUACAGGCCAGAUCAUGAACUAGUAGAGCUGUUAUGGAGAAAUGGGCAGGUAGUUUUGCACAGCCAAACAAAUCGAAAACCAGGUCUUAAUCCUAAUGAGUCAAGGCAAGUUCAGAAACAUGAUCAAAUGAGGGUUGGUGGGUUCUAUGGGAACUCAGGUAAUUUGAUUCAUGAUGAGGAAGCAGUCUCCAUGAUCCAAUACCCUCUAGAAGAUUCCUUUGAUAAAGAUUUCUGUUCCCAUUUCUUUUCUGAACUGCCUUCCUGUGAUCCACUUGAGAUUGAGAAGCCAAUCAAACAAUUUGGAGAAGAGAAGUUUGUUAAGUUUGAUGCUUCUAAUGCCACCCAUCUUGUUUCGUCUUCACCACAAACUAAUGUCAAGUCCUCUACUGGUGUGGCAUAUCCUGAAAAUCCAAUGCCUCCUCCAAGAUUUCAGAUCAGUAAUCCAACUGAGAAAAACCAAAAUCUUGGAGGCUUGGGGAAAGUAGUCAAUUUUUCUCAAUUUUCAGCACUGGGAAGGGGUGAUAUAGGAUCUUCCAGAAAACAAAUAAGAGGGACAGAGCCUGGUAAGUUGAAUCAAGCAGAGGUUAGAGAGUGUUCUAUGAUGACUGUUGGAUCCAGUUACUCAGGUAGCAACCAAGUUCCUAAUGACUUUGAUGUGAGUCGGGCUUCGAGCAAUGGUGAUGGGACUACUGUGUUUUCUACUGGAACCUUGUACAACAAUGUUCAAAAGAUGAUGCCUCUGAGUGAGGGAGGGAUGACAGAAACCCUUGAUCCAACUCUUACUUCAUCUUCCGGCGGUUCUGGCAGUAGUUUUGGCAGAGGGAAGCAGUCUAAUGUUGUCAAUAGCAACAAAAGAAAGGGUAGAGAUGCCGAGGACUCAGAGUGCCAAAGUAAGGUAAAAACAUUCUCUCCAAGACUUGACUACUUGUAACAUCACUUAUUUGUUUCCUGAGAAAUGAUAGCCUGUAUAUAUUUAGGCUGCUGAAAUUGAAUCGGCUGCGGGAAACAAGCCAGCACCACGAUCAGGAUCAUCAAGGAGGACACGUGCUGCUGAAGUCCACAAUCUCUCAGAAAGGGUAGGCUUUCAGGUUGCAUAGCAUUUCGAGGUUUUGAAAUUUGUGAUUGUUUGCUCUAAGUUAUUUAUUUGGUACAGAGACGAAGAGAUCGGAUCAAUGAGAAGAUGAGGGCAUUGCAAGAGCUCAUACCUCAUUCUAACAAGGUCUACUUUCUUACAAGCCAUUUAAUUCUUGGUCUUUUUACCUUCCCCUAAUUUUAAAUUUCUGUGACUGAUAUGUCCUGAUUUUGCAGACGGACAAAGCGUCAAUGUUAGAUGAGGCAAUUGAAUACUUGAAGUCUCUUCAGCUGCAACUUCAGGUAUAAUGGAUACUCACCAAACUGAUACCACUCCUAUUGUUUGUGUUACAAGCAACUUAAAAACGUUUCUUGGUGAUUUAGGUAAUGUGGAUGGGAGGUGGGAUGACACCGAUGAUGUUUCCAGGAGUACAGCACUAUAUGUCCAGAAUGGGAAUGGGAAUGGGACCGCCUGCCAUGCCUUCUAUGCACAAUCCAAUUCAUUUACCUCGGGUUCCUAUAGUUGAUCAGUGCAUGACUGUGGCUCCACCAACAAACCCGGCCGUAAUGUGCCAAACACCGGUUCUGAAUCCUGUUGAUUACCGUAACCAGAUGCAAAAUCCCUCUUUUCAGGAACAAUAUGCACGUCUCAUGGGAUUCCAUCAUAUGCAGACCAUGUCUCAGGUAUGUGGUGUUUUCUGGAAUAAAAUGUUUAGUCACACGAUGGUUAGGUUUAUUAGCUGAAACAAGUUUCAUUUUGAUUGUAUCCACUAUGUCUUGUAGCCUAUGAAUAUGUUCAGAUUCGGCUCUCAGCCUCUUCCACAAAGUCAGAUGAUGGCACCAACUGUCAUGAACACUGGACCUUUAAGUGGUGGAGCUGCAACUAAUGAGGGUUUAAGUGGCAAAAUGAGUAAGUCAUUUCAACCGCUUUUGGGUAAAGUUUAUAUUGUUUAUUGCUCUCUAUAACUCAAGUAGCAAAUAAGAUACCAUGCUUAUGUUGAAUUAAAUUGAACUAGUGAGUUAUGGCUGUCAAAAUGAUUGGCUAUAUGGUGGAUUUGGAUUGCAUUAGUGAAUUCAUUACCUUCCUUAUCUUCAAUGCCAUGUCCACUGGAAGUGAAUGGUCACAAGUUUUUCCCAACUAUAAAGGGUUGGCUACAUCUAUUCCUUUUGUGCAUUGCUCUCAUGUUAUCUGUAGAUAUAGGCCAUUAUGUCAUCUUUUCAUAGAUUACACUUGAUUUUUCUCUGCCCUGAUUCUGAUGCUCUUCGUAUGAUCGUUUUCGUUUUGCUAUAUACAAACAGUAGUGUUCUGUUGAAUCUUUGAUGCCAUUACUGUCCCUAUCAGAUUAAUUUUAAUGGAAGCACCACCUUUUCUGAUGUCAACAGGUUAAUAAACUACGAUGCAUGCUUAUCUCUAUGGACUAUGGUCCCCUAACUUAUAUAACAAGAUUACUUCUUUGUGGAAAAUGCGGGUUCUGAACUCUUCUUGAUCACACGGUUUAAAGGCUCCCCAAUCCACCGUAUAUAUUUCCUAUAGGUGAUCGAAAAGUCACUUUUCAUAUAUGCCAAUGAACCACUAUUGCAAGUGUUCAGACAUCUUAAUCGCGCAUUGAACUUGCUCCGAAACCCUACAAACAGAGACAAGAGUAGUUAUGUAUCUUUCUGGUUUGAGUUUUUUGACUCUGCAAGAGAAGGAAGUUUGUAUUCCAUGCCCCAUAACUUGUAUAAAAUACAGGCAUAUUGCUCAUUCAUGUUUGCUUAAAAAUAUGCCUACAUUUUUUAUAUGGAUACUGAUGCCUGUUACUUUCUUCAGUACCUUUAUGCUCAUGCUGUAUGCUCACACACUUCCUUAACACUAUCUUAUCUACAAUUCUCUAGUCACCAAUAGAUACUCUUGAAACCUUUGAUCUAGAAAGCUUGUUAAAGUAAAGAUUGCAGUUGAACAUGUUCUAACACAUUGGUCUAUUUGCUACCCUAUUAUUUUCAAAAGUUGAGCAUCAAACUGAAUGCAUUGUACCCACUCUUUUUUCUCCUCAAUCUUUAUCUUGUAGUUUUGGUCAAGCUCCAAUGAAUUCAAAGGUAGUGAGGGGUAUUGGAAUCAAAAUAAAGGCAAUGCCAACUACCCUCCUGAUAUUGGGAUGCCCUUUAUCUCUAAGUCCAUGUUACCUAGUCUUGAGACCUCAGCAUUAAACACAUUGCUUAUUACUAUUGUUAAGGAAUAUAAACAUUGGAACUCUUCAAAAUCUGAUUAAAAAAAUUGGGGCUCUGUUCUUUUCCUGGAGGCAAGUUUGGUUUCAACUUGUUGGUCUGCAUCUCUAGAAUAUCUGAUUCUUCAGGUCAACAAAAACUGCUACUAGCGCCCUUUCUUCAAUCUUACCUAGCCAAAAGGUAAAACCAUUAUAGCUUAAUGAAGAAGAGCAGUUGUUAACUUGGGAAUACACAACUGAAUUGGAAAUAGGUACCUAAGCUACCAAGUCUUGCAAGGUUGGGGUUCAUUUGGUUCUUGCCUGUGCUGCAAGUCUAUUUUGUAUGUUCAUUCCAGAAAGAUAUGAACAAACUCUAUGGAGGGUAGUGAGUAACUGAGUGCUGAUAAUGACACUUCAAUUUUUGUUUUCGACACCGACAUAAAUAUUAUCAUAGCAGAAAAUACUCUCAUAAAAACAGCAAGCACCUUAGGCUAAUUGCCAUUAGUUUUCAAAUAAAUGACAUCCACACUUCUUCCCUUCAAAUCUACUCGUAUUUUCCUUCAAAAAUAUAGCAGUAUGAUUCUACCGAUUAAUACGAUAGGAGGGAACAACUGAAUGCCUAAUCAUUUGUAUGUGCAAGCCCAGGUUCUCACAGUGCACGUGCAUGACUCACUUAUGUCUCCCUAUCGCUACUGUAAAAUGCCAUCUCAUUAUCAAAGCUUCAUUCUUCUUUCCAGCAAGAAGGAUUUCUCAUGUCUCCAACAUGCAUGAACAAUCUUAUAUUCUAUCAUGCUGGUGGGGUUCAAUUACUCAUUGUCAUCCAUUCUCUCUCUCCAAUUAUUAUUUGGAAAAUUAAUAAAAUAAAUAAUAAAUCGUAAAAUAAAACUAUUUGUACCACAUUAACAACUCACAUGUCGUUACAUACUUAAAAUCUUUACAAAAGUCGCUCAAAUAAGUCAAGUCCAUCUUAGGUCGGCUAUAAGAGUCAUGAUCAGCAAUGCAGGUCUAGAAUGUAAGUAUUUUCUUCAGCCAUGUUGUGACCUUCCCCCUAUUUUCCUUUGCUUUUCUGGGUGGAGGAGGGGUCCUGGGUCAGAUUCCCCUUCUUGUACUUCAACUGCAAAUGGCUAGGCUAAGACAUCAUCAUCAACAUCAUCAUGAAUUCUAAUGACUAUUGCCUCCCAGUUGUUUCAUAUAUAUUUAUUUCCUAUUUCCAUUAGCUUAUCUGACCCACAAGAACAUACAGAUAAACAGAUUACAGAGGAGCCAUACAAAGCUAGUGGCCUGGAAUGCUCUUGCUUUCAACAUUUUACUAAUAUCUCCUCCCCUCAGCCCCCACUGUCAUCUUUUUCUUGAUUGGAAGCUUGAAAAAGAUUGAUGUCUCCCAAAGGGUUUUGGUCCCAUUCUUGCAUACUUGCCUCUGCCUAAUCUUUUCAUUGAAUUGCUUUGUUCAUUUGCACAAGUUGGUACUUUAAAACCCCAAAUAUCAGCAUUAAGCAACAAUAUUGUUCUACCCCACUUCAAAGAUUUCAUGCAUCCAGCUUUAGUUGAUUUUGGAUAGAUCUAUAAUUGUUUAUUGAUCCUCUCAAUGGCUCAAUUAUUGGAUUGAUUGCUAAAUCAGUUUGAGCAAAUCUAAUAUGAUUAUGUCCCUAAGAUCUGUUACAUUAGAUUAAAAUAACAUAUUUUGAUUAAAAUCUCCUGAAACAAAUAGAAAAGUAUAGCAGAGGUCUUACUUUUUAAAGACAUUUCUUUUGGGUAAAUAAAGUUCUAUGCAAGUCAAAAGCCAGAUAGGCAUGGUUUCUUAUCCAGACGUUACUGUGGUUAAAGUGAAUGUUGGUCCAAAAGUAAUUCUCAUUCCAACGAUGUUUACAAUGGUUAACGAUGUGUUUUUUCAUCAUGUAUAUUUUAUAUAUAGCCGAAAUCAAAAUAUAUGCCGAAACUUAUGUUUUUCAUCUAUUUUUAGGUGAAAAUGAACGAGGAGAACCGAGAAACGAACGUGAUCAAGAAUGGUGAAGCAAGAUCUCCACAACUUAGUAAAGUGCUAGCACCCAUCUUAUCAACUAUGAAGAACACACAAAGAUGGGCUUCUAAAUCCCAUGAGUCAAAUGACACCAUUUUAUGGGUUGGCGCUUGCAAAUUGGGCUUCAUAAUAGAAGCAGGCUGCUAUAAGUAGGCUCAAUCUCAAUCCACACAUGGCCUGCAGCAUGUUAUCAACUCGUGCAAACUUGAAAUAUACAAAACGAAGUGAAGUAGUGAACUCAAUAAUUGUCCAUAUAAUACAUCAACAGAAAACAAAAAAUCUAACAAAACCAAGGUCCAUCACAUACUAAGAUUUUUUUGUUCAUCCAAAUUAACUUGCAUGCCAAGUAAUACUCGUCGAGACAAAUUUUUAUUUUUUUAUCAAACAAAUCACAAGAGUAGAUCCCCUCGAAAUAAUGAGAUCAUUAUACCAAAAAUACAUCGCAAUGUCAAUGUGAUUCAUUAUACCAAGUACUAUUUUGAGAAGAUUUCUGAUCCAGAUGGAGUAUUCCUUGUAUCAAAGUGGCAAAAUUAUCUGAUUCUGGGCCAGCACGAGUGGUACUGUAGCAGCCCAUUAAUAAUAAAACAACAACAGCCCAUUCAUGUUCCUUUCUCCAUUUGGUCGAUCGAAACAGAAUUAUCAACUCUAUACUAUAGUACUCCAAAAUGAUUGGUGCAGGUCUGGAAGCUUCUCUGUAAAGUAGAAAAAACAAAGAGUACAGUAGACAAGGUUCAGAGCCAAAAGCCUGUGUUAGCUUCUGACACCCUCAAUUAUUGGAGGAGCACCAGAAGUGGAUAUUUGUUGCGUGCACUUGGAACACGUGGGUGGGAAACCUGAGCCAUCAAUUCCAAUUAAACGCACGUCGUUUUCGACUGCAUGUGAGUUUCCGCACGGAAAAGGCGUUAGGGUUUAAAUCAGAGGUCCACGUACAAAAGCGUGGUCGGCGGUGAGCGUCUGAUCGGGGGAGUCUUCUGGUGAGCAGUCACCGACGAUGUUCGUUAAUCUUUUUAGCUUAGGGAGAAGAUAAGGAGAUUAAGCUAACAUAAAUGACUACACUGAUGUUUACCAACUUGUGGGUUCAUUGUUAUUUGAUGAUAUAUAUUACUUACAAUUGUAUCAUUAUCUCAUGGAUUUGGGUGGUCUAGGGUUGAAGAUGGUGAUUGGUCUAUGAUGGGUGGGAUAUUGCAGAUCCAGAUUGUACGUAUAAAACUAUAUGUGGGAUAUUGCAGAUCCAGAUCAAUGUAUGUAUAAACUGUGUUUGGUGUGGUGGUGCUGGUAGACGUAGUCCUUUUUUCUUUUCUUUUUUGAAAGGCCGUAGUCCUUUUUUAAAAAGAUAAAUAAAUUACAUUAAGAAACUUUUAGGGUAACCAAUUAAUGUUUACAAUGUCAAAUAGUAAGAGCAAGACUCUAAAAGUCUCAUGAGAAACUCUAUCAUUCUAAUACGGUGAAUUACAAGAAUGCACAAGAUUAAAUAUAACAUUGACAACAAACUUAGCUUUCCUGAAAAUAUACCUAAAAAAAACAAUAGAGUAGCUAAUGUUCUGAUGUCUUGCAUUAGUUUAAUCAACCUCCAAGGCGGCUCAAAGCGGCCACGCACGUACUGCGUGUAUCACCAGCUUGGAAUCUCCAACUUCAACAUUAGUGAAGCCCUUCUUCUUUUUUUGAUCAAGUUGUCCAUUAACGCCACAGCUUCAGUGUUGGAAAAAAUAAUAUAAUGGAAGUAACUUAAACCAUAUAAAGGAUAAAAGUGCAAAUAAGUAAAAGAUAGAAGAAAUGGAACACCAGAUAUAACGUGGUUCUGCGAUGUGCCUACAUCCACGGGGAGCAACAACAAGAACUUCCACUAUGAGAAUGAUGGGUACAAGAGAUACACAACUUCAAGAACACUACUUGAAGGAAAACUCUCUCUCUCUCUCNNNNNNNNNNNNNNNNNNNNNNNNNNNNNNNNNNNNNNNNNNNNNNNNNNNNNNNNNNNNNNNNNNNNNNNNNNNNNNNNNNNNNNNNNNNNNNNNNNNNNNNNNNNNNNNNNNNNNNNNNNNNNNNNNNNNNNNNNNNNNNNNNNNNNNNNNNNNNNNNNNNNNNNNNNNNNNNNNNNNNNNNNNNNNNNNNNNNNNNNNNNNNNNNNNNNNNNNNNNNNNNNNNNNNNNNNNNNNNNNNNNNNNNNNNNNNNNNNNAUUUUUUUUUAUAUAAUUUACUGACAAAGAUUAGGUGAUAUCAGCUUCUUUGUAACAGUUUGCUGGGUAACAGAGCACCCACUCUACCCAAAAGGGGACCACUACAACCACAAACCCACCGCCGCGCCUGUCCCUUACCAACUACACUACAUUCUCAUCUUGGAGUGGACACUUUUCACUCUCUACUUGGAUGAAGAUGUUUCUCUUGGAUGAGAUAAUGGGAAUGAGCAAAUGAUCGACCUCUCUUUAUAUAGGUUAAGGAGGAACCAUCUAGAUCACUCAUUAGUGUUAUCCCAAUCAAUGGUGCUUCAUGAAUAUUUUAUAACUCAUGAUUCUUCAUAUGCAUUCCAAAACUAUCCAUAUACCUUGUGUAACUCAAGAGUCACUAACUCUUUGACCUUUCACAUUACCAACUCAUGAAACCUUUUACAUUUCUUGUCAUAAGUUACUGUGAGUUAUUGGUCUGGAUAUUUCAACAUUUAGUAAUUGGGACUGAAGCACUUCCGAUGCGAUAAGAGGCUGCAGAGUUUGGUCUUCCAUUUGCGCCUCUAAUUAUAAAUUAAGCCAUAAGCAGCUGAGUUACUUGUGACUGAUGUGACUAAUCCAUCAAAGUUAAUUCUGAAAAAACAGUUAGGAGAUGUUUGUCACUUGAUACUUGAUAGUGAUACAAUGGUUUUGAAAAUGCACCCCAGUAACUCUUUCUCUAAAAUUAUUUUGACCUGAAAUCAUGGAAGCUACUGCUAAGGUAGUUGAUCGAGGAUUAGGAACAAUUCCUCUAAAAACCGUGUCAUUUCUAACUUUUUAGACUUGUCGGCAAGUGGUAAAGUGGUAAUCACUUUUGCAAACAAAUCAACAUCAUAUGGCUGUGAAAUAGAGAGUUCCUUGUUGUGGUUCGUAUGUCUUCGUUUAAUGUCCUACUAUAUAGGAAAUAUAUCAGUCUACGAACUUGUGUUGUUAACAAGCCUAACCAAAUCUGAACCCAGUUACCGAUAAGCAUAUAUAUAUAUAUGUUAACAUUGUUGCACUAUUAAGAAUGUGGUGAGACUUGGGUGCUACUUCAGUCAGUUUUGGUCGUAAGAAAUUGUUACAUAUCAUUAAGGCUACUUCUAUUUGAUUAACUUCAUUUACAUUUGUAAGAGCUUAAUUGCUUUUAGUUCGUCUUUAUCAUACUGCUCCAAUCUCUUAUUCAAAACCGAUCGAUGCGUCAUUUCACCGGUUGUUGCCCCUCCCCCUUCCUCUGUCUUAGUCAAAACCGGAUUUUGCAUCCUCUUUUUAACUCCUUAUCUUUCAGUAACUCUGUAAUCUCUUCUUAAUGGAGAAUCAUGUCGGGUGAAAAUAAUAUAUAGCAAUGGAAGUCAUGUAUGCAAACACUACGGUGUUAUAAAUAAAUAGCUACGUUAUCUUAGUAAUUAUAAAAUGAAUAGCAUAAUACGUCCUUAUCAAGAGAUCUAAAGGUCCACUUUAUACCACUAUUUUAUGUAUAAUUUCAUAUAUUAGUGCCACGCUUGAAACAUAGUUUUCACAAGCAAUGUUUGACGCAUUACACAACGUGUGAUAGGGAUUUAUAAAAAUAAAUAAAUAAAAUAGAAAAGGAUGGAUCGAAAAUGCAAACUUAGAAAAUGAAUUAUGUAAUGCUUACAUCAGAAAAUGCAUGUACAUGUAGGGGGAUUUGUAUAACCUAAGCAAGACACACACAAAGGAGAAGAUCGAGAUCCAUACCAUGAGGAAUAACAAACACAACUAACGUACGUUUGUGCUUAGUAAAACAAAACCUUAAUGAAAUUCGCUUUUGCUUCUACUGUCUAGCAUCUAUGGUACGUAUUUGUGUAGUUCGAUCGUUUAGAUAUUCAAUGGUUCACAUAUAAAUUAUAUAGAGAUGCACAAAAGAUACAAAUAAAGAAUCGAUUCCUUUCUUUUGUGACAAAAUUAACUUCCGUAUGGUAGUCAUGACAUUUUGUUGAUAAAAAUGAACCAUUAGACCCACGUAUUAAAACGUUGAUAAUGACUUAAAGUGCUUAACACUAUUGCUGACUGCUGUUAUCAAUCAAGGAUCAAACAUCUGAAUCCUGUAAAACGUUCACCCUUAUUUGAUUCAUAGGUACGUGUUUGUAAAACCAGACGAGUAGUCCAAAAAUAAAAUUUAAAAUAUGUCUUAUUGCAUGUUUGUGGUUAUGGGUUUUGAAAUGUGUGCUUCAUAUUGGAUGUGGUAUAUGUGUUUAGAAGGGUGCUCAAAUGACCCUACUCGCAUAAUUAACCAACUAGCAGAACAUGUCGAAUUUGCAACAAGCAUGAUUGUGAUUCGAGUUGUAAAAUCUUUCUUUUAUCCUUUUACAUCUCCAGGCUUUUGGAAACUGAUCGAACAAGCAGCACAAAUGGAAGACAUCAGCAUCGAUCUAGGCAUCUAGCACUCCCAAAGAGAAAACGUCAAAGAAAAUUAUGAAAUAUCAUCUUCACGUUCGUGUUUGGCAUACUGCAUUAGUUUAUCUAUUUACUUUAUUUCCAACGACUUAGACAUUAACAUUUUCACGUCAAUCCAAAUCAAAGAAGAAGAAGAAGAAGAGAGCUGCGUGAUACAACAUUACAAAAUUCCACAGUUAGAUUUCAGCCUAUGUGAGUAUGUGACGCUUGUGUUGCGUCUUGGUGAUCAGUAUUAAUACGUACUGUUUGAGCUCAACCGUAGUAUGGUUGGCCAUUUCUUGACACAUAUAUGCAAGUGUAUAAUAAAAGAUAUUUGUUUUAUGGAAAAUUAUGAUUACGUAAUCUCUUGAUUUUUUUUUAUAAUAAAUAACUUUAUUGAUAAAUAGAAAGAAAUUACUGUAUAAUAGAAUUACCAGUUAUGGUAGCUACACCACGAGACACAUUCCCAUAAAGAUCCGUAGUUACGGGCCUGCCGCCAACAACAACAUCCAUGAGCCAAAAGGGCUCAACCCUUAACCCAAUUUCACGUUAAAAAAGAGCUACAAAGUCUUGAAAGUAACGAUACAACCUCGCUACCAACACUAUAACAAGCCAAUUCCCCUUCUUCGACACCGUGUCCAAAUACCACCAGACCACGUGCAAAGACAAUCCACUCUCAUGUUGACAACCAGACAACACCAAUAAUCCCCAGCGGCGAAAGGAUUCCUACUGCUGUUGGGAGUACUCUAAGAGAACAUAGAGAUGAGAUUAGUGUUAGAGUUUGCACAUGAACUACCAUCACCAAAAUUACCGCAACAUACAUAUACGGCGGUGCCUGAUAGCCUUCGGUUUUGUGCUCUAGCAUACCACAGGUGUUGCAAAAGCCACACACACCUUCACAAACUUGAAAGUAAUCAUCAUAGAAGUCAGAUCCAUACCUUCCCUAAAGUCGAAACGCAUCGGUGGGUAUGCAUGUUUCACCGGGGAAUCAAGGUUGUGCUCCAAUCAAACCCUAGCUCACGCACCCUAUAGAAGGUUCGAGUUGUCAUGCGGCCAAGGGUUGCCCCCACCAUAUACAGAGCCUUUUUCGUCAUGAGAUCCGGUGGAAGACCAAAAACCUUGACCCAAACUAGGAUAAAUCUAAUCGAAACCAGCGCUGCAUCCAUUCUACCAUCGUAUAGAGCUAGGGCAAACAUUUUUUUUCCGUAGAAAUACGGCCCUCCUUCCACAAUAUACUUUCGAUUUUCUGCAUUAUUGAACCUCAAUAUAUAGCGUUCACCUUGAGCCCUUAUGUGCAGCUUCCCCUUUAGAUCCCAUAGCGUAGCCAAUGUUGUUGUGAAAGCUUUGGGAACAACCUUCUUUUUGGAAGACAGAAGCCCGUCUACUGCGUAUUGGUUCGAUAUAAAGUACAACCGACCAUUCUCCGAAAUAGCGAGCGCCGCCGCUAGACUGGAAACCUCGUUUACCAUGAUUGUCUGUCGGAAAAGAGAAUUGUCAAAAAACUUCGAAAUACAAAGAGAAACCCUAAGGAGAGAGCUUUUCUUCGCGAUACAACUAUCUUUUGAUUAUGUAUAAUAACAAUAAUAAAAACGGGCGUGUGUUCCUCCCGUUAGACUUGGUUCCAAAUCUAAUUUAACAAAUAAUAAAAUCGAUGUGAGAACUUUCAUAUAUUUCUUUUCAUUAUACCACAAAUGCAUCGCACAGAUAUAAUACUAGAUAAUCGAAUUGACCGUGUUUGUGAUAAAAUGGAUAAAAAACCAUUAGAUGGAAAAAAAUGCAUAGGAGUACGAUGUAUGACAUUUGCUAUCUACAUCACUAUACCAAAUCGGUUAGAUAAAAAGAGAGAAAAAUUCAAAAAAAACGCCCCAAAAUAAAACACCGACGAUCCAACACGUUGUCACACACCCCACUUUGACAUUCAUCACCAACAAUACCCUUACCACUCACCACGCCCUUUGCGUGCAAUUUCGGGAUUUCCGCCUUCCUAACUUUACACGUGGCAAAUAACUCCCGCGAGUGCUGAAUCUCCGCCACUCUCGCGCGUAAUCCCUCCCCUUCCCAACUAUGUGGCUGGCAUACCUCUAUAUAAACCCAGCCAAACUGGGACGGUGGGAAUCAAAAUCCUCUCUCAAAUUCCGUUUUCCGUUUCCGCAUCAAAUCUUCGCUCCCCUAAAUCCCCGAACUUUUUCGGUUUCUGAUUCCCCAGAUUUCCGAUUCCCGAUUCCCGAUCUUCGAAUCCAGUGGGGGUGUUUGAGAGUCGGAUUUGUUUGAAAUCGUGGAAUUUAGAAACCGUGGAUUGAAAAGAAAGUCGCAUGAGCUGGUUGGGGAAGCUGGGUUUCAUAAAGAGAAUAUCGAAUUCCAAUUCCAAUCACUUCAUCACGUGUCUCUUGAUUUUCACCCUCCAUUAUUCCCCUCAAUUGCCCCUUUCCUUGUUGGAAUUCGAGAAGAAAGCCCUCGAUCCCUUAUUAUCAUUGUCUAUACCCCAAUUUAAUUCUAAUUUAAAUCCCAAUUUAGUAAUUUUAAUUUGAAUCACCAUGGCUUCCGGUAAUAGCAACAGUAAUAGUAGUAGUACUACUCCCCAAUUGCGCAGAGGUCCGUUUCGCAUUAAUACGUUUUUGUUUUGUAAGCUAGUUCGAAAUUUUAACCAUGCUAGAUUUUGAUUUUGAUUUUGAUUUUGAUUUUGGAAAAUGCAGCUGCCUGCAAUUCGGAGGUUGAGAGGAGGCCGACCUUGAGCGGAACGACGCCGUCUCCGUCUGUGAUAGUGAUCGGUGGAGGCAUGGCUGGGAUUGCAGCUGCGCGUGCUCUUCACGAUGCUUCAUUUCAGGUAGCUUAUGAUGAAAUUGGUUUAAUGAGGUACAUUGGAGUGUGGAGUUGUGGGUUGUGAAGGUUUGAAUUUUUUGUGUGGUUAGGUUGUGCUGUUGGAGUCUCGGGAUCGACUUGGUGGUCGGGUUCACACUGAUUACUCGUUUGGUUUUCCGAUUGACUUGGGUGCAUCAUGGUAAGCUGAUAUUUGAAUUGUAUUUGGAGUUUUUGGCCCGGAGUCAUGUGGUUAAUUUUGUGUUUUUAUGGAUUAGGUUGCAUGGAGUAUGUAAAGAGAAUCCCUUGGCUCCAUUAAUUGGGAGACUGGGUUUGCCUUUAUAUCGAACCAGUGGUGAUAACUCUGUGUUGUAUGAUCAUGACUUAGAAAGGUACUUAACCUCUUAUAUUAUGUGUUAGUUGAAUAUUCAUCGUCUCUCUUAUUGUAGUCUGUGAUAUAUACAUAAGUUCAGAACUUUAGACUGUUUUCGCUCUUUAAAACUGUUAAGUCGAGACCUUUUCUAGUGUUAGCUGACAUAAAUUAUCUCUGUGUUCUAUUUUGCAGCUAUGCACUCUUUGAUAUGGACGGGAAACAAGUUCCUCAAGAUUUAGUUACGAAAGUUGGUCUAACAUUUGAGGAAAUUUUAAAAGAGGCAAGUCAUUUUAUGUUUGUUAUCCUUCUUUUCGUAGUAUUUUUAGAUUAUAGUUGCCGAGGGUUACUUGGUUUUGCUCCUUUUAAGCCUCAAUUGUGGGUCAUCUUUUGAGACGGCUAUUGUUUCUUAAUUGCAGACAGAUGAGGUAAGAAAGGAAUUCCCAGAAGAUAUGUCCAUCUCCCGUGCUUUUUCAAUUGUUUUUCAAAGGAAACCAGAAUUAAGGUACCAAAUGAGAACCAUAUUUCAUUGAUUUAACUAAUGUUUAACAUUAUGAAAGUCCAGGAGUAACUUAUUCAAAUUGCUUCUGUAUACACUAUAUAGGUUGGAAGGAAUUCCCCAUAAGGUAUUGCAGUGGUAUUUGUGCCGAAUGGAAGGCUGGUUUGCAGCAGAUGCUGAUACAAUUUCUCUUAAAUGCUGGGAUCAGGCAAACUUCUCAUCUAUCCUUUUCUGGGCGAGCAAAAGAUUUCAAACAAUGAUCCUUUUAUUGUUGUUUUUUAUUUACGACUAAAUCAAAUACUUGUCAAUUUAAAUUUAGAUGCGGAGUCUAUCACUCUUAAAUCCGAAAAAAUUAUCAUCAAGUAAAAGAAAUUUUUAAAUAUGCUAUUGUAGAUUUGUAGUGCUGCUCAUUGACUGCAUGCACAUCAGAUGAUUGUGUUAUUCUUUUUGUGAAACACUAGUGAUUAGGAUGAACUUUAUGGUAAUGAGUGAACUAUAAUGAAUGCUAUUUAAUUGUAGCAAUUUUGUUUUUCUGUUGUACAGGAAGAACUGCUUCCUGGUGGUCAUGGUCUUAUGGUCAGGGGAUAUCGCCCUGUUAUAAACACCCUUGCCAAAGGUCUUGACAUUCGCCUAGGCCACAGGUAGGCAUUGAUUUUCAUAAAUAAUUGCCCAAUGUAUAUGUUCUAUCAUCUGCUUGUAGCUUAUUCAACAAUUACAUAUCUUUUGUUGUCAGGGUGACAAAAAUUUUAAGGCGGUAUAAUGGCGUGAUGGUAACAGUAGAAGAUGGGAGAUCAUUUAUUGCAGAUGCUGCUAUUGUUGCUGUUCCCCUCGGUGUGCUCAAGGCAAAUAUCAUCAAGUUUGAGCCAAAGCUACCUGACUGGAAGGAUGCAGCCAUUGCUGAACUUGGAGUGGGAAUUGAGAAUAAGAUAGUGUUGCACUUUGAGAAGGUGUUCUGGCCCAAUGUGGAGUUUUUAGGAGUGGUUGCGGAGACAUCUUACUGUUGCAGCUACUUUCUAAAUCUUCACAAGGCUACUGGUCAUUCUGUGCUUGUUUAUAUGCCUGCAGGGCAGCUGGCCAAAGACAUUGAGAAAAUGUCUGAUGAAAAGGCUGCUGACUUCGCAUAUACGCAACUCAAGAAGAUCCUGCCAGAUGCUUCUGAUCCGGUAAUCCUUGUUUCUCGAUUUCUAACAAAGGCAUCUUGAUUAUUCCAUUCUAUAGUUCAAAACUAACUUGAUCUAUGAUUUUGAACCCUGCAGAUUCAUUUCCUUGUUUCUCGCUGGGGAACAGAUAUUAAUUCACUUGGGUCCUAUAGCUACGAUAUGGUAGGCAAACCCCAUGAUCUGUAUGAGAAGCUAAGGGUCCCAGUAGAUAACCUCUUCUUUGCUGGGGAGGCAACAAGUACGGACUUCCCAGGUUCUGUGCAUGGUGCAUUCGCUACUGGAGUGAUGGCUGCUGAAGAUUGCAGGAUGCGCGUUCUGGAGCGAUAUGGUGAGUUGGAUUUGUUCGAGCCAGUCAUGGGUGAGGAGGCCAUGUCUAUCCCAAUUCAGAUCUCCCGCCUGUAACUUGCUGGUUAUUCUCUCUUAGAGAAGAAUGCAAGUAUUGCAGAUGUAGAUGUCAGAUUUGCUGUACACAGUCCCGAUCUUGACUUGUCUGUGUGGGAGUAUCGAUCUCUACUGUGGAUAAUCAUUAAAUAAAUCUUAAGAAUCUAGUCUGCUAAUAGCUAGUGGAAUGUUGCAAUGGACAUUCCGAUGGACCUUAAAUGACCUCCUUUGUAACGAACUGUGUUAUUACAAGUCAAUCUAUCACGUAUGUCACUACCUUAGUCCUGCUGAUAUUUGUUUACAACGAACUCUGUGAGUUAGACGCUGAUACAUUAUUUUUAAUAUUUGCGUUAGUACUGUGAAACUCAAGUUAAGUUUGCUAAUUUUGUGGACAUUUGGGACAAACAUGUUCAUGUCGAUCGGUCCAGCACGAAUGUGACGAAUCAAAUCAACCAUGAGUUCUGUUCAAUAUAAUCAUGCUUCACCACAAUGUCAAAGAUGAAUAGUCCAGCUGAGUUCAUAUCAAGACAAUGAGGAUGUAAAUGGGUACAAACAACUCAAAGAAAUUGAAUCUGCAAGUUUUCUUUCAAUGUUUCACCUUGAGGUUGCAGUUUCAAAAAAAUCAUAAAAAAUUGCAAUCAGAACAAACAUUUUUCUUUCCUUCUAACCAUGGAUUGAAUUAAAUAACUAUCUAAUACGGUUGCUCAGCUAAAACAUGUACAUUUACACGCUGAGCAAAGUUGACAUUUUAAGCAAAUGCAUUGCCAAAAACCUGCCCAAAAGAAUCUCCAACAUUGUGAUUUCUCUGCAAUCCAUUGAAAAAUUAAAGUGGGCUUCUUUUCCCGUCACUUUCUUGUUUUCCAUAAAAAGCUCAAGUUACAAUCACCCCUUGAAUUGAUUCUUGUGCCUUUUUAUGGUAAAUGAAUGAGAAUAAUAUCCAAAUUCCAAAAUGAGAAGACUCCCAGUUCCCAAGUGGCUCUAGUAAAAGGUUCCUGUAUAUAAAUGAAGCACUAGUCAGAUUUAGCUCUGAAACUUCUUCGGAAACAAACAUUAGCAACUACUAAAACUUAUACCCAUUUAACAGCGUGAUCAUCACAUAAUAGAGCUGAAGCUUUCGAUAGGAUCAGAUUCUUCAAGCAUGGUAGCUGCCUGAAAGCAGUCUGCUGCAUCAGCCAUCCGUCCAUCAUCUCUGUGAAUGAUUCCCAAGUGAUACCAAGCUUUACGAUUGUUAGGGUUGAGCCUGAGUGCAUCUGAGAGUAAACUUCUUGCCACAGGCAAUGCCUUAGGUCCCAUCUUUGACAUAAGCACGGCAACCCCAAUUUUGCCAGGAACAUAAUAGGGUUCUUGCAUAAGAGCAUUAAUAUAAGUGACUAGAGCUUCAUGACUUCUCCCACAUCCUUCCAAGAUAAUGCCUAUUAUAUAUAGAGAGAAAUAAGUUUCAAGUAAACAUGCUAUUUAUAAAAAUAAUGUAACAUUCAUUUACAUGUUAGAUGAGUGAAGUUCUUGCCUUCUGCGUGCAGUGUUUCUGCAGCAAACUGCUUCAACUCUCUGGCUUUACCCAAACAUAUUUCUGCAUCCCUCCAAUAUGAAAGGCUGGCAUAUAAGUUUGACAAACCAUGCCAAACUUCAAGUUCGUUGACUUUAUCAUCCUCGGUCUAGUAACAAACAUCCAAUUAUAAAUUCAAAAGGAAGAACUUGUUAAACAGGAGUUCCUAUUUGUCUCUUCAUGAAAAGUAAUAUUAAAGAGAGAAUAUAUUGCAAAAGUAAAAAGUAUACAAAUGAAAUUGGAAAACUAUGAACAGUUGAUUAAAAGCAACAAUCACUAUUUUACAAUUGCAUUGCUACAUAGAGCAACUCAUGCUUCUUUAAAAGGUCAGAUUAGGCCCUCCAUUAUCAAUCAGAUCCAAUAAUCCCAUAUUACAUUUUGUGCCACUCAAAAGAAAAAACAAAUAAGGUGGUGAAGAAAAAGAGAAAUUUAAUAUAGCAUUUAAUUGCAUCCUGCAAUAUCUGAAACUUAUUUCCACAAACAGUCGGAAACUUGACUUUUAUAAGGAAUGAACUAUCAUUACUUUCAAGAUAGGCCAAACCAGACUAUUGUAGAAUGACCAUAUUUUACUACUUUCCCAUCACUACCAAUAAUGGCGUAUGCAGAAAUUCAAACAGUCUGUAUUUGUAUACGGUAACUGAACAACUAAAUGGUAUUUUGGAAAGAAAGAAGCAGAGGCCAGAUUUACCUGAGAAUUAACUCUGAGAGGCCCAAAAGAUUUCCUUUGGGCUUGAACCAAAGCAAGAAGGUUACGGUAAGUUUCAAUUGCAUCCAUUGGUAAGGAUUGGGAGAUUUUCAACUUUGCUUUAAGUCUCAGUAGUGGCCCUUGCUCCCAUUUUGCAGUCUCAUCCAAUGCCGCAUCAGUGACUACAUGAGCCUCUGAAAAUCGCUGUUGAGCAGAUAAAACUAGAGCAAGCAAUCGCCAACCUUUUAAUGCGGAACCCCCUGUUUCAUCAAUGAACUGCUUUGCAUAGCGCAAAGCAGCAUUUAGAUUCCUGUGCUCUGCAUAUUGAACCCCCAACUCAAAAAUUAAAUCUGAAUUGUUCUUCUCCAAAGAAAUGGCCUCACUUAGUGACUUUAGUGCUUCAGACUGAAUACGAGACCUCUCAAAGUCAGAGGAAGAAGUUGUUGCUUGCUUCCCCAAACAAAGACCCAAAAAGCGAAGAGCCACAGCCUUUAAAUGUUCAUCCUUACCCUGAGAAUUACUAACAGCCCUCUGUGCAUAUCCAACUCCCUCAGCUGCCACAUGGGAAUCCUCACUGCAAAUUUUGGCAGCCAAUAAUAGUGGCAUGAGUUCAUCUGGUCGUUCAUGUUUAUGUAAAGAUUUCCUCAACAGAUUUAAAGCGGCUUUGUUCUGUCCUGCUCCACUAUAACACAAAGCUAGAGAAUUCCAACGAUCAACACGCGGAUAUACUCCAGGCAUGAUCUCUUCAAUUUGCUUGGCUAAUACAGAAGUCUGGUUGCAUAUAGAUAGUGCGAAUGUUAGAUGUUCUAUCAGUGAUGGAUCCCAUUUCAAUUUACCUUCGGACAAAUUUCUCAAAAGGAUCAUUAAAAGCAGGAUUGCCUCUUCCAGAUUAUUUUUAGGCACAUAUGAACCUUCAACCUGAACACCUAAGCUGGGUGGACCAGCCUCUAGUCCACUAUACAGCAGAAACACAGCAAAUGCUUUCUGAAUUCUUGCACAACAGUCAUUAUCCAGGUUCCACUGACCAAGUAGAGCACGUCUAUAAGCAGUGAUUGUUUCUUGAUAGGAACCGGCUUGUUUCCACAGCUCUGGAAGGAGCUCUACAGCUCGGCUGACUGUCUCCUGCAAUCUACUAUCCACUUGUGCAUCAGGUAUUCCUUGAUGGAAUAUUUUUUCCACGGCAUCAAGCACUCUUUUACAUUCAUGAGCAGCCUCUGCAAAAACAAAAAUGAAGGUUUGGUUUGGAACGUAAGUUAGUGUGAGAAACUAGUGGACCUUAGACAAGUCAUCAUCUCAAAUAUUGGAAUAUUGGAAGCUACCUGUUAAUCUGCCAAGCUUAUGAAGAGACUUGGCUUUCAAGUAUAUGGCGUCAAGAACGAGGGUAGCAGCAUGCUGCGAGACUGAAUGCUGUGAAUCAGGACGAGACCUGCCUUUUUUAGAAGGUGUUUUCUCAGCAAUAGAAGGUUGCAAUCGCUCUAUGGCCGCUUGGAGAUCGAUGCCAUCAAACACACGAAGAGCACCUUCAAGAUUACCUCUUUGGUACUCUAACUUUCCAAGGAGGGCUCUUGCUUCCUGUAAAUUAGCAUGAAUCAAGUUUUUUCAGUUGUUCAAGUAAACAAAAGAUCAUUACACAGAACUCUGAUCUCUCCUUACAGCUGCACCAAAAAUGGGUUUAACUAUGCCAACUGUUGUUAAUCCAAAUACAGACCAAGAUUUUCAAUAACAGAGCUGAUUAAACAUAAUGGACCAAUUAUGAUAAUCUAAUCUGAACCAGAUUGUGAAUUUUCAAGAGGUUAGGCAAAAUUAGGUUUGACGCAUUAAAUAUACUCUCUCAAUAAAAUCAAAACAAAUGAUAACAUAUGAUUAUAUGAUUUUUGUGGAGGAUGGAGCCAAAUGAGUAAAUAUGAUAUGUUCCCAAAAACAAGCAGGCAGGAGAGUAUCAUCCAGAUUUCAAAGACAAUUCUGAGAAAAAUGGAGACCUUUACACGAAGAUUUAAUGCCAUGCAAUGAGAAUGCACUCUAGCAGAUGAAGUUUGCUUUUCUCCAUCUGCUUAUAAUUCAUGAUAUCACCAAUGUUUAAACCACAAUCUCACAAUUUCCACUGUCCUUGGAAGGAGGAGUUACUGCCAGUUCAAAGGGCCAUGAUAGGUUUACUUUCCCUACCAGGAUGAACAGAAGAAAAGUAUGCAUAAAAUUACCUCAAAAUUGAGUGAUAACCCUUCUCGUAAUGAAGAUUCUGCCUCCUGAAUAUUUCCUUCAUCCAGCUUGGCUGCGACAUCAGUUGCUUUCAUUGAAUUCCCAUUAGCAGAGAAUUCAACCACCAUGCCUUCCUCAUACUCGCCAGAUUCCAUGGUCUGGCUCCUUAUACCUCUUCCCCCACCCUUUCUCACAGUUUUCAGUUCUGUCCAAUCAUUCUAUCCAUUCAACACUUAAGCUAACACGCAUAUAAAAGCUGCAGCCAUAAGCCAAACAGUACAUUAGUUAAAAUAGAGAAAACCAACUUCUGUGCAACAAAUCCAGCUAACCUCAAACACCAUGUAAAGUAUUUUGUCAAAUAAUGUAUCUAUCGGGGAUGCAGUAAAGCUAUAACUUCGGACGAAACCACAACCUAUAAUUCACUAAAAGAAAACUUAUUAGAAUGCAAGAAAACCUAUACGCACAUCUCUAUCUAGACUUGAAAUCCGAAAAAUACAUCAAUGCACAUAAAAAGUCAAAACAGGUAUUGUGGGGAAGUAAAACUAAAGAUCAUAGCACAAACAUAUACGGGUCUUCUCCUUAAAAAGAAUCAUGUAUAGUCCUCCAUAAUCAACAAUGCCAGAAAAGCAGGAAUCUUUGGAUCCAAUAUCAUCAAAAACAAUAACCUCAAGUCACAGCUAAUCUUUGGUUGCCAAGAAAAUGCAGGACUUCAUUGCCAAACAGAAACAAAAUGCAAGACUUGGGAAUCCAAAGUCAGCAAAAACAAGUUCAGAAUUCUGGGCCAAAGCAGCAAAAUCUUUAGUCUAACAUCAAUUGCAAAAACACCACAUUCUGGAACACCAAUUAUGAAAAACCAAGAUUCGAAAUUGAAUUGCAUUGCAUUGUGUUGGUAGGUGAGAAAAACAAAAGGCAGGAUUGAAAAGGGUGGUGUUUGGUACCUGGGAAUUUGCCGGCGGAGAAUAGCAGGCGGCGGUUGUGAUGAGAUUCAGAUCAAGAUUGAAUUUGGAGGACGGAAGAUGACCGGUGGGGAAUCAGGGGAGAGAAUUCAGGGGGUGUUUGUGAUCUGAAUGUCGUGUAACUAUAACUAUAAACUCUUAUGCUUUAAAUUUGGAGCUACAGCCAACUAAUACAAACGUUGUUCGUCUUCUUAUUCUGUCCCCCUUUCUUCUCUUUUCUUUUUUAAAAACGCUUUUUCGAUUUUUACUUUUAUGUACUUUUUAUGGAUAAAAGAAAAAGAAAAACAGGUUAUGCCCCUAAUUUUUCGUUCUCUUAUAGACUCAGAAAUUUAACUUAUAUUAGACUCAAAAAUCCAACAUCUACCUUUUCAAAAUGAUUUGAAGCACAAUUAUUAACAGUCCAAGCGAAAGUUCAGAAGUAGUGACAUGUAAAUGAUGUCAACCGAAUCAACCAAAAACUAUGAUAAUAACAUGAUUAAACUUCAUUGUCAGAAGAGGAGGACACAUCCUCUGGUGGGUUUAUUACUUCCAUCCCUUUUUCCAUCCCAAUUUCUUCCUUAGAUAGAAUUGCAGUGAAAUAAGAUGCAGUUUGGUUGCUCAACAUUGCAAACUUUUUAGCAUGAAACCUAUAUGUCUAGAGUUCGAGUCUUACAACAGGUUUGAGGUUUGAGGGAGCUUCGGAUUUGUACUCCUGAAACGAUAGAUUAAUUUGGCUUUUCUAAGAUUCUCAUGUGCACCGUGGUCCGGACUGAGUGCGUAUUAACUUGCUAAAGAAGGCCUGCAAUUUUCCUUUAUUUACUUGGAAGUCCCUCAUUUGAUCUGAUUUGAAAAACCAACCCUGCCUGUAAUCGAAGCUGGUGCAGUUAGAAGGGUAACAACUGUUGUGUUUUACCAGUCUGGUCCCUCUUUCUUCAAAAAGAUAAGAUUUUUGUCAAAAAAACAUCAUAUACUCUUCUUCUGCUCAACACCCUCUUCACGAAAAGAGCUUGUUGUUUCAACCUCAGCAGCUAUGCUUUAAGCACUUUCAGAUACACAGAAACCCAGAAAAAUGCCUCAAGCCCUUUUCUUAAAGCCCUUCAUUUCUGCUCCUUUGGACAAUUGGAGGUAUGUUCUCUUUCAAAGUUCCCAUCUUGAUAAACCCAUCUAAAACCCUUAAACCUCUCUUUACAUUCUCAGCUUCUCACUUUGAAUUUGUUUUCUGGUAAUUUGAUAAAGAACAUGGGGAAAAUUGGUUUAUCUCUGAAAGUAUGUUACUUUAUUAGCUUUGGGUAGCUAAAUUAUUAGUUUGCUUCAGAAUUCUGAUGAACUUUCAUUAAUUUAUGCUUAAGCUAUGUGUAUGUGAUAGUUGCAUUUGUAUGGAAAUGACUUUUGUAGUCUGAUAGUGAUUUGUGUUCAUUUUGGUAUUGGCAAAGUAACAAUGGGAAUCUUUUGUCUUCAGUAAAUUGAAAGAAUGCACAAAUUCUAUAGGUGGCAAUGUCAAGAUGCGUGGAAGACUGGAGGUAGUUUGUAUGGGAAUGUUGGCACCGAGAAAGUUCUUGCAGAAAAGGAAGAAAGUAGAGGUCUUUAAAGACGCUGCCGAUGAGGCUGACCAGAAGAACUGGAGGAGACUGAUGAAUGAAAUUGAAGAGAAGGGUUCCGCUGUUACAGUGCUCAAAAGUGAAAAGCUCAAAAAUAAGAUGAUACCUAAGGAUGUUGUUCUCGGAACGUUGGUUAGAUUCAAGCAAUUGAGGAAAUGGAACCUUGUUGGUGAGGUAUGUGGACUUGCCUAAUUGUUGUUCUGUGACAGAUAAGAUAUGGAUACUUUUUUAAAGUCAGUUGGAUGACACGUUGUAGCGAUGUUAGUUAACUCAUAUAUGCUGACUUCAUCCGUAGUUUAUGUAAAAAGUACACAGUUUUCAUUUUCUGUGUGCGGUAGUAUGAUAUUUCAAAUGGUGGGGCAGUUUUUGUAUAUAAAUGUAGAAACUGCACACAUGAAUUGUAUGAUUAACCACAUAGAGGACCCUGCAAAGUAUUGACAACAAAUUCAAAUGGAUUGCUUGCAUAGGAAUUAGGAUAUACUACAUUUUGUUUCAGUCAUUCUGCUACAUUAUUGUAUCUCUGGACUCAUUUCUGCUAAAUUAUUCAAUCUCUGGACUCAUUUCUGUUAGUCUUUAAGUUGCUUCGAUGCUUAUAUUACUUGCUUAGCUCACAUCCUUUUGUCUUCUAGAUUCUUGAAUGGCUUCAGACUCAGGACUGGUGGGACUUCAGCGAAAUGGAUUUUCUGAUGCUUAUAACAGCUUAUGGGAAGCAAGGCAAGUUCAAUAGGGCUGAGAAGGUUUUAAGCUUGUUGAAUGAAAAGAGCUAUGCACCAAGUGUAAUAUCGCAUACUGCUCUUAUGGAAGCAUAUGGAAAAGGAGGCCGCUACAACAAUGCUGAAGCAAUAUUUCGGAGAAUGCAGUCUUCAGGGCCUGAACCAUCUGCUGUGACUUAUCAGAUCAUACUAAAAAUAUUCGUUGAGGUAAUGUUUACAAAACCAUAUCUUAUGUCAAAACUUUCUUCACUCGUUUGCUGUUGUUGGACGCUUUCUACCUUCCUCAUCACAGUAACUCAAAAUACUGCAGGGCUGCAAGUUUCAGGAAGCUGAAGAAAUCUUUGAGACCCUUUUAGAUGACGAAAAGUCACCUUUAAAGCCAGACCAAAAGAUGUUCCACAUGAUGAUCUAUAUGUUUAAGAAGGCCGGAAGUUAUGAAAAAGCUCGUAAGAUGUUUGCAGUGAUGACUGAGAGAGGGAUUCGGCAAUCAACAGUUACUUAUAAUAGCUUAAUGUCGUUUGAAAAUAACUAUAAGGAAGUGUCAAAGAUGUACAACCAGGUAAAUCUCGUAAAAAAUCUGAUUUAUUAUUCAUAUAUCUGGGUAGAGCAUGCUUUCGAAUUUAUAGAUUGUAAAGUUGCUAGUUUCCUGAUCUGUUGUUUUCUACAUCAUUGGCCAGAUUGGAUUGCGAUUAUAUAGAAGAAUGAGCUGUCAUGCUGAUUUAGAAUUCUACUAUCAAUAGUUUUAGCAUUAAAAGGUUUUAGUAAGAAUCAAUGCUUCGACCUCUCACUGCAUGCUACCUAUGCUACCUAGUUUAUGAAGUUGUUAUCACCUAUCUUUUCUUCUGUCACAUAAAUUGAUAAGUUCUACGUCAGUUUAAUAUACCCUUCUUGUUUGCUGCAAUUCUAUAUAGACGAUAAUUUCCCAUAGAUAAUAAAGAUGGCUUGAAAGUCUUUUUUUUAUCUCCUUCCCCCAUGCUUACCAAAGUUGAACCGUCUGGCCAAGCCACCAGACUCUCCAAGAUCUUUAUAUCUUAAAAUACUACUGAAGUAAUUUAACUUUAUUAUCAAUAAAAGAAGUCAUACGAAACUGAAGUAACCUAUUAACGACAGAUGCAGAGAGCUGGUCUCCGACCUGACGUAGUGAGUUAUGCCUUACUCAUAAGUGCUUAUGGGAAAGCUAGAAGAGAGGAAGAAGCCUUGGCUGUUUUCGAGGAAAUGCUUGAUGCUGGUGUCAGGUAUGUAGGCUUAAAGCUAUCUAUUUAAAAGUUAUAAAUGAGAGGAAGUUUAGUUUAUAUUUCAAAGUUAUAUAUGUGUCAUUACUUAUUUAUAUCUUUAAUUAAUUGUGGAAUUGAGAUUGGAGAUUUUAGAUUGUAGAUGAGUAGGGACAAAAUUAGAUUUUGGCGUACCGGUAAUGGUGGAGUGUUCCCCAACCAAUAGACUGUUUUUAUUGCUUUCUAUGUUCAACCAUAACCUAACCUGUCACCAUAUAGCAAAUAUUUCCUCUGCAUGCAAUGGAAAUUGCUGGUUGCCUUGGUUUCUUCAUCUGUUUGAAGCUAGGGCAUCAGUUUCUCAUUCUGGCUUUUACACCAACCUAAGCUGGUGGAAAGUGGCCAAACUCUUGCUGCCAAUGUGAUGGCAUUAUAUAGAAUAUAAUUCCUGCUAUUUAUCCCUUUUGCAGACCUACCCGUAAAGCAUACAAUAUUUUGCUCGACGCAUUUGCAGUAUCAGGAAUGGUGGACCAAGCUCGAACUGUUUUUAAAAGCAUGAGAAGGGACAGGUAUACUUUUGAUACCUGCAUGAUGAUUAUGUUAUGUCCUGAUAUUAGCUGUCCCUUGUUAAUUUUCUGAUUCCAGAAAGACAAAAUAGUGCUAUUGUGCCUAUUAAUGCUAUCUGUUAAGAGUAAGACAUGUCACUAAAAAGUUCACUCUCUGUCAUCAGGCUAACACUUCUCUGCAUAUUUUGUUUCGGCAGGUAUGAACCCGAUAUUUACUCGUAUACCACUAUGCUGUCUGCUUAUGUAAAUGCACCUGACAUGGAGGGUGCUGAAAAAUUCUUCACAAGACUAAAGGUAGAUGGAUUUAAACCCAACGUUGUCACUUAUGGAACCUUAAUCAAAGGGUAUGCUAAGACAAAUGAUAUCGAGAAAAUGAUGGAGAAGUAUGAGGAAAUGCAGGCAUGUGGUGUCAAACCAAAUCAAACGAUCUUGACAACCAUAAUGGAUGCAUAUGGCAAGAACAGAGAUUUUGGGAGUGCUGUUGUUUGGUACAAGGAAAUGGAAUCUUGCAGGCUUCCUCCUGAUCAGAAAGCAAAGAAUAUCCUUUUAUCUUUGGCAAAAACAGCAGAAGAACAACAGUUAGCUAACCAAGUUGUAGGAUACUUGGAUAAUAGUAGCAUUGAAAACCUUCUGUCAAUCUCUGUUAAUGAUAAUGAUGAGGAUGAAGAUAAUGACGAAGACGAUGAAGACGACGAAGAUGACGAUGAAGACGAUGAAGAUGACGAUGAAAGUUAUGAAGAGGAAGUCGAUGGUCCUUCACCAGUCGCUUCAUCAUAUGACGAUAAACAAGAACAAGAACCUGAGCUGGUUUAUUUAAACGGUGAUGCUGAAAAAAACCUCGAGGACUUGCUUACAGUGGCUGAAUUGUAAAGUUGGGAUCUUCUCUUUUGUGGUAUAGUCACAUUACUUAGCGUUCAUUGUUAAUUCAACAAGGUCAAUUGAGAUUAAUACGUGGGAAUUGAAUCAUUCCACACUACAUUUUGGCAUUUAAGCAAAGUGACCUUACUGUUUAUUUUUUGAUGGUCAGUCUAGUGAAAGCACUGCACCCGCGAGAGUGAAAUCUGCAGUUUUGGAUUUCUUUCUGUAUCAAUUGCAAAGGCUUGUGAUUCAAAGUGUCUGGUGUGACUUCCUUGGAGCAAAAGCUUGUAGUUUCGGAGGCUUACAAGUUACAAGUCCACUCGAUAGAGCACUUUUCCUUGGCAUCCACAACAAGAGACUGACUCUUACCUUCCCCCUCAAAUAAUGAAAUGGAAAAGGCAAGGCAGUUUUGAAAGCAGUAUCUUGCUUUAAAAUAAGUACUGCUGCUGUUCGUUAAAAAAAUACGAGGGUCUCCUAAAACAAUUAAAAUUGGCUACAUCUGACUGGUUACAGGGACAAUGUUUAAUGAAAGAAGACAUCGCAUUGCACCACAUGAAACUCUGGUAAAAUGAGGUUUGAACCGUGUACAUUCAUAGACUCAUACGUCGUCUUCCUCCAAGAGCAAGUGCUCUACACUUGCAGAUUUCUUCACUCUCUCAGCUGCAUUUACAACCUACAAAAACAAGAGCGUGAUCAAAAUCGUUGGUCACAAUCUGGCCAAAUUCAGUUCAUAUGUACUGUGUAUUCUUAUGGUAAGAAACUUUCAUCGAAAUUUAAGUUACCUGAGCAUCCCAAUUGGUUCUGGCAGUGAGAACAAUUAGAGUUGCUGUCUGCAAAAAUACUCCAAUAAUCAUCCCCCACCAAAUACCCUGAAAAAUUAAGGCAAAAAAUGCAUUAUUUUCAGUAGCAUUUACAAUUAACUGUACUGAUAAGAGUGAGGUAGAGUCUCAAAUACUUACUGCUACUCCCAUACUAGUUUUGAAGGCAAGAACACACCCUAUUGGAAGACCGAUAAUAUAGUAACAAGUCAGAUUCACAUAAGCUACAACACCUUGCCAUCCACUUCCAAUUGCAACACCUGAAAUUCAACAUAUCAAAAACUAGAAAUGGUGCCUAACUGAGAUGUUUUUUCUACCGAGUCUAGCAUAUACUGUCAAUACCUGAGAGUAUAGGUUGAAUGCCAUUCAGGAAAACAGAAAUGGCUAGCAAGGGGGUCAAAUUAGACACUGCCUCAAUAACCUCGGCAUCACUCGUAAAUAGCCUGCUCAAUCCAGCUUUGAAUAUUAGCACAAUAGCACUGAACACUAUGCUAAUUAGGAUGCUGGUACCAUUCACUACAAACACCGAAAAUUUGGCCACCUUUGGAUGACCAGCACCUAGCUCAUUACUCACUCGAACACUGCAUAAGCCCAAAUCGAUUGCAUUAUCAGUAAAAGACUUCUAAUACAUUUUUGUCAAGGAAAUGUUGAAACCUUAAGAUUUGUCACAAACCUUGCAGCAGCAGCAAGGCCUAGCAUAAACUGCAUGUCCCAGUUCAAGUAGUUCAUGCUGGAAUCAUAUAGAAUAUGUAAAGUUAGAUAACAACCGAGUUGAACAACUGAUCAGAUUAACUGAGGAAAGUACAUUUGUACAUACCAGAUAGAUAUGGAGUCCAGUGAAAUUGUAGGGUUGGCUAGGAGCCCUGAUAUAAGCACUAACCCUUGAUUGUACCAAAUCUCCAAACUACAUUGAAGCAUUACUAAACUCAGUUUUAUGAGGUCAACAAAAAGAACAAUAUAAAAAACUUGAAAUGUACAUAGCUACAUACAUAGUUACAUACCACAACAUGAUAGCAGAAGCAAGAGUGAGCUUAAAAUAAGGCCAAAUUCCGGAAAAGGCUUUCCAUGAGAAACCAGUCCAAGUUUCCUUGCAGUUGGGGCUUACUAGAAUGUAAAUCCCAAACGUAAUCACAAGCAACCACCAAGAAAAACUCAGUGUAAGAGAAGCACCUAUUAGUCCAUAGUCCACAACGUAAACCACCAACCAAGUGAGAAGAGUGUGGAGGAGGAAAACUCCAAUGGACAUGUAUGCCAAAGGGUGCACUAUUUUCUGUGCCUGAAGGAACCUCCGUUGAGGGCAGUUUAUGGCAAAUGCAUAGAGUUGAGGGAUUAAGCCGCGGGCAUAGAUUUGACCCUGUUCUGCUAUGCUUUCAGUUUGGCCCAUGGCCACUAGUAUUGGACCUGACCACCAGUACAAAAAUGUAAGGAGGAUUGCUGCUCCCAAGUGCAAGAUGAUUGCUCUUUGGCAUAUGAUCCCCAUUGCUCCCAAGUGUUUGGCUCCAUAGGCUUGCCCACAUACAGUUUGUACAGCACUCGCCAUGCCCAACUUGAAACUCAAAGCAAGAAAUAAAAUCUUUUAGCUCAUUUUAGACUAAAAGAUUAUUGAGUAAUGUAAAACAUGUAAAACACAUAGAGAUGAAGAACUGAAAAUGAGUUUAGCUUACAUGAUUCAUGUUUUGGAUGGUUGUAAGAGACCAAAUAGUAUCAAUUCAGUCAAACAAGUGAAAAACAUGAGAUGAAAAUGAGUGAUAUAAUUAGGUACAUUUGAGGUACAUACCAUAAUCCCAAAAGCAAGGCCUUGGAUUCCCACACUUGCAAUAGAGGCUCCAGCAAGCUCCAAUGCACCCAGAUGGCCACAAAACAUGAGUGUGACAAAGGUGAGCAUGUAAUUGAAAAUUGAAACCACAAUAGACGAACUGGAUAAAAUCCAUAGCAGCCUGGACUCCCAUGCAACUAGCCUAGGCCACCACCUCAGUGCUAUAGGCCUUUGCUCCAGAAACUCCUCAACCGCGGCGGAUGACAAGUCAGGAAUCCGGGAAUGUGAGUUAAGUCUAAGGAGUAGCGGCUGGUACUGCUCCGACGACCCCGUGGUUAUGUCAGCCGGCUGAGCCAUCACUAGAUGAUGUUGAAACUUGAACCCUGAAACUACGAGUGUAGUGUACACAAGGAAGCAGAAGCAGAGACAUAAUUUCCUUAAAUCAUGUUACAUUAUAUAUGGUACAGAAAACAGAGCGGGAAAGUUGAAAUUACAAGGUCCAACUAACAUUCCAAAUUGUUAAGCACCAACCAGUGUUAGCAUGUGAUCUGCUAUAUAGCGAAGUGAGUAGCACGAGAGUUUUACCUACAACAGUAACAUAUCUUUGUUCAGAAAGUUCACAAAACCUAUGUAUGCGCAAGUGAAAUGAUAUAUCCAAGCACUGUUUUCUAGUUCAAGCACUAGUUCAAAGACAUUGAAAAUGUCACUACGUCAGCUUUGGGAUUGCAUUGUCUAAGAAGGUCAAAGUAAUCACUUUGUUUAUACUAGUUCAUGAAGUAGAAAACGUAACGUUACAUUUGGUUUCAAAGGGUUUCCGCUUCCUCCUCGGUAAAUGUCUUGGUACAAGAUAUGAUUUCUUGAACAACAAUUUUGGUAUAUUUAUUCAAAAUUGUGAGCUCCUCUGCAAAGAGGUUGAUGAGCACACCUAGCUGAAUUGUGAUUUGUUUUUCUUCCAGUUCUCUUCUUCACUUUCACCAUAGAUUUCAAAAUCUUAACCAAGGUAAGUCAAUUUUAAAGCAAUUUUGCCACAAUCAGCAAGGAAGGAUUCUUGCCACAUGAUCAUGUUGUUGAGAAUAUAUAUCAAAUCACAUCCAAAUUACCCAAACACAAAUAAGAAGUAAAUGAGUCAUAUAUCCAUUUAAAUAUCAAUUGCUGGAACUAUACGUGGUUUGAUCCCGAAAAGGUAUGUAGGCAAUCUAGAAUCAAAUAAUCUGGAUGCAACCACAUCCUAAACACUAAUCUCAUUCCAAAAAUCCAAGCAAUUCAAUGAGUCAUUCACUCAUUGGAACUAAUGAACCACAAGUGUGUGGCUUGAUCCCGUUCCAGGUACGUAUGCAACCAUUCCAAAAUUCGAGACGAGCUGCAAAAACAAACAAACAUGUACACAUUGAUCUUUUUAUGAGUGAAAUUGAAAGAUGUUUCCUUGUAACAAGUGAGUGUAAUUAAGAGGCAAAAUUCUGUAUUGAAUGAGUCGAACCCAAAAUAAUUAAAACUUUAUUCUGUUAGUGAAUAUGAGUAAGCGGAUUACAUAAGGGGUUACAUGUGUAAGCAAUUUUUCCUCAACAAACACUGAUAAAUUGAGCUUUGAACCGUGAACAGUUAUACUUGUUUACACCCAAAUUAAUAUUUUACUGGACAGUAAUUGUUUAAAAUGAAUGUUAAUUAAAUUCAUGGUCCACACCGACGAGCCUGAAUAAUAUUAGGUCUAAAGACGGGUUGCCUCGCCUGUAAUAAGGAAACAUAUAUAAUUAAGGAGUCUUCUUCUUGUGUUGUGUUCGAUUUCGCGAAGCGAGAUGCCUUCGCCAAGAAACAAGGCGAGAUGACUUCUCAUACAGAGACUCCGCGUAGGAGACCACGUGAGGAAACAGAGGUGGAAGACUUCGCAUAGGAGAAGGGGAGAGGCGGGCUCCGCUUGGUGGUAUAUAUAUGCAUAUAUAUCAAUUGAGAGAGCUAGCAAGGAAAGAGGCGGACUCCGCCUACAAUACCUCUAUUGGAUAAGAAAGCAAUAUAUAUCCUUAGUUAAGCAUGAUUGCAUGGGAUGGGUUCAUUAAGGAUCCUUAUCUUUAUUCAAGCAUGUUUGCAUGGGGAGCUCACGUCCACAUCUUCAUGAGUUUGGUUGUAUUGGUGGUUAAGGACUCUACUCCUUAAUUGUAUUUGCACGGGUGAACAGUGGCGCACGUCCAGGUCUUCAUGGAAUUGGUUCUACUCCUCUACAUAGUAGGCAGCUAGUUACUUCGCCGAGGCUUAAUCACGUCCAGCAAGUGAUUUACAUCGCCUACACUGCAUUUAUCGUUGAAGACUUCUACGAGUCUUUGACAUGUUUUGGGCCAAUACUUGUGGCCCUAAAUAGCUCUAUAUAAGAGAGUUCGAGGAUCUGGUUGACUCUCUACACAACGACAAUCAACAACUCAACAAAAAUACAAUACAAUUAUCGACCCAGUCGAACCCAGACGCUAAAGCAUUUCGCCUUAGCAACCUUUUUCCUUUCACGCUCCCUGGAGCUCUGUCUCUUUACUUUCCCGGCUCCCCGAAGUUAUUGCACCUUUUACUUUUCAAGCUCCCCAGAGUUCCCUUGCGUUCUCGUUUUCCUUUCCUUUGGUUGCUCUGCUCGCUACAACCGCGAGUAUCGAUAUUGAUAGCGAAUAAGCUAUUGUAAUUCCUCGUCCGCGAGAUGACAACGGAGCCUUGCUUUCGUUUGAUUAGAAGUAUAGGUCAACGCACUACGACAACAACCUUACUACAUUCCGCGUUCGCGCGGUGGCACGCCCCGCAUCCCUAAAAACAUUGACUGCUGCUGUCUCUCUCCUUGCUGAGGAUUGUGGCCAAAACAAUACUCAUACAUCGUCUUCUUCCAAGAGUAAAUCUUCUACACUUGCAGAUCUCUUCAACCUCUCAGCCGCGUUCACAACCUAUAAAAACAUAAUCACACAACCAUGGCCAAAUUUUGUUCAUGUCUACUACUCCUUGUGCAGAUGGUAAGAAACUUUCAUCAGAAUUUAAGUUACGUCAGUAUCCCAAUUGGUUCUGGCAGUGAGAACAAUCAGAGUUGAUGUCUGUAAAAAUACUCCAAUAAUCAUUCCCCACCAAAUACCCUGAAAAGUAAAGGCCAAAAAUGCGUUAUUUUCAAUAUCAUUUACUAUUACAAAAGCAAAAACUUUACUGAUAAGAGUGAGGUAGAGUUUCAAAUACUUGCUGUUACUCCCAUACUAGUUCUGAAGCCAAGAAGACAUCCAAUUGGAAGACCAAUAAUAUAGUAACAAGUCAAGUUCACAUAAGCUACAACAGCUUGCCAUCUACUUCCAAUUGCAAGACCUGAAAUUCCACACAUCUAAAAUUAGAAAUGGUGCCUGAAUGCGUGACUGAGAUGUUUUUCUACUGUGUCUAGCAUAUACUGUCAGUACCUAAGAGUAUAGGUUGAAUGCCUUUAAAAAAAAACAGAGAUGGCUAGCAAGGGGGUCAGAUUAGCCACUGCCUCAAUAACCUCAGUGUCACUCGUAAAUAGCUCGCUCAAUCCAACUUUGAAUAUUAGGACAAUAGCCGUGAACAAUAUGCUAAUUAGGAUGCUGGUCCCGUUCACUACAAACACCGAAAAUUUGGCCACCUUUGGAUGACCAGCACCUAGCUCAUUACUCACUCGAACACUGCAUAAGCCAAAUCAAUUGCAUUAUCAGUAAGAGACUUCUAAAUUUCUAUUACGGUUUUGCCAAAGAAAAACUGAAACGUUUUAAGAUUUGUCACAAACCUUGUUGCAGCAGCAAGGCCUAGCAUAAAUUGAGUGUCCCAGGCCAGUUCAAGCAGUUCUUGCUGGAAUAUUAGAAUAUGUAAAGGUACAUGAUAACAGUGAGUCAAAUAACUGAUCAAAUUGACUGAGAAUCUUAUAAGACACACCAGAUAGAAAAGGAGUCCGUUGCAAUUGUAGGGUUUGCUAGAAGCCCUGAUAUAAGCACCAAUCCUUGAUUGUACCAAAUCUCCAAACUACAUUGUACCAUUAUAAAACCUAGUCUUAUAUAUGAGGUAGGAAAGGCCAAAAACUUGAACAUGUAUAUAGUUAUAUACAUUAAUACAUAGUUACAUACCACAACAUGAUAGCAGAAGCAAGAGUUAGUUUGAAGUAAGGCCAAAUUCCGCAAAAGGCUUUCCAUGAGAAAGCAGUCCAAGUUUCCUUGCAGUUGGGGCUUACUAUAAUGUAAAUCCCAUACGUAAUUACAAGCAACCACCAAGAAAAGCUCAGUGUAAGAGCAGCACCUAUUAGUCCAUAGUCCACAACAUAAACCACCAACCAACUGAGAAGAGUAUGAAGGGCGAAAACUACGGCAGAGAUGUAUGCCAAAGGGUUCACUAUGUUCUGUGCUUGAAGGAACCUCUGCUGCGGGCAGUUUAUGGCAAAUGCAUAGAGCUGAGGGAUCAAGCCGCGUGCGAAGAUUUGACCCUGCUCUGCUAUGUCCACUGAUUGGCCAAUGGCUACUAGAAUUGGACCUGACCACCAGUACACAGGUGUGAGGAGGAUUGCUGCUCCCAAGUGCAAGAUGAUUGCUCUUUGGCAUAUGAUCCCCAUUGCUCCCAAGUGUUUGGCUCCAUAGGCUUGCCCACAAACAGUUUGUACAGCACUUGCCAUGCCCAACUUACAAAAUCAAAGCAAUAAAUCAAGGGUUUAAUUAGGUUAUGUUAGACUAACAGAAUGUUGAGUAAUGUUCUUACUCAAACAAGUAAAAAACAUAAGAGAUGAAAAACUGAACAUGAGUUUAGCUUAUAUGAUUCAAGUUGACAGUAUUGGAACAUUUCGAAUGGUUGCAAGUACCAAAUAGUUUCAACACAUUCAAACAAUUUAAAAGCAUAAAGAUGAAAAUGACUGAUAUAAAUUAGGUACAGUUGGGGUACAUACCAUAAUAUCCCAUAAGCGAUACCUUGGAGUCCCACACAAGCGAUAGAGGCUCCAGCAAGCUCCAACGCACUCAGAUGGCCACAAAACAUCAGUGUGACAAAGCUGAGCAUGUAAUUGAAAAUGAAACGACAAUAGACGAACCGGAUAAAAUCCAUAGCAGCCUUGACUCCCACGCAACUAGCCUAGGCGACCACCUCAGUGCUAUAGGUCUUUCCUCUAAAAACUCCUCAACCGCGGCGGAUGACAAGUUAGGAAUCCGGGAAUGUGAGUCAAGUCUGAGGAGUAGAGGCUGGUAUUGCUCCGACGACCCCGUGGUUAUGUCAGCCGGCUGAACCAUCAGUAGAUGAUGUUGAAACUUGAAACUACGAUCGUUGUGUACACUUGGAAGCAGAAGCAGACAGAAUGUACUUAAACCAUGUUACAUUAUGAGACAGAAGACAGAGCGGGAAUGUCGGAAUUAUAAGGUCUAUCUAACAUUACAAAUUGUUAGGGCAUCUACCAGUAUUAGCAUGUGCUCUGCUAUAUAGCAAAGUACCAACAACAGUGACAUAAUUUUGUUCAGAAGUUCACAAAACCCAUAUAUGUAUGAAAUUCAAAUGAUAUAUCCAAACACUCUUUUCUAAUUCAAGCACAUGCAAAGACAUUGAAGAUGAUCAGCUAUGGGUUAAUUGCAUUCUCUGUUCUUGUUUAAUAUUCAUCUGGGAGGGGACUGAGAUACAAAGGAAGAAGAAAACCUUUUUGUUUGUUCCAAUUGGAACAAUUAUUACAUACCACCCAAUUCAUCACCUCAGAUUUAAAGUGUGCCAUGGAGGAAAUCCAAUCUACAUAUUGAUGUCUGAUGAGAAAUCCAUGUGAACUUAUUUCAGUGAUAAGUUGUUGCGGUAGGAUAAAUAUCAAACAGCAGACAUUGGUUGGGUUACCAGUUUGAUAUCUACAGCAAACAUCUGAAUAGAGACCUAUUCCUAUGUAAGCUGGCUUCAUCUGUAAUCCCAUAUGAAAAAUUAGUGUCCUUUGACAGUUCCAUGGGGAUUUCUGGACAUCAGAGUAAAAGAUGAAAUUCAAGAGCAAGCUGACAAACUUAUUCAAGGAAAAAAAGGUGGAAAUUAAACAGCAACAACCACAGAAAACUGGACAACAGAAAGGAGGUUACAAACCUAUACUAUCAGCCACAAUGUUAAGAAUUAGCACACCACCAAAUAAAAACAAGAACCUGUUGCUCCACGGAAUAAAAUGUUGCAUGUUAACGAAAUGCAGCACAAAAGUCUCAAACUUACAUAGAUGCUAGGAUAGGUGAUGCACAGGUUGCAUUCUUGAUUCUUAUCUAACAUGAUCGAUUAGCUAGACAUUAGUGGUAGUGACUCAAUUGAUGAGGCAGUGCCACCAUCCAAAGCUGACCCGGUUACAGUAGUAGCAACAUCCCAAGGACAAGUUACUUCAUUUCGGACAUACUCAACUUCUUCAUGAUUUUGUUGUGUAUUUGAAGAUAUUACUGAUUUAUGAAUCACCUCCAACUCCAUUGCAACUUCUUUCAUGGUAGGUCGUCUCUUCCCAUUCAUAUCCAGACAUCUUUUUGCAAGAUUAGCGACUACCAAAAUAUCUUCUGUUACACCAUCCACCUUAACUCGAGCAUCAAUAAUAUCAAACAAAUUAUUCUCCUCCACUGAGAGAUUGAAAUAUGAAACAAGGCCUCUGGCUUCUUGUGACCUGGUCAAAGAAACUGGCUUUUCUCCAGUCAGGAGCUCAACAAGUACCACCCCAAAGCUAUACACAUCACUUUUGUCUGUAAAUUGACUUGACUGGAAGUAUUCUGGAUCCAAGUAACCAAAUGUACCAUGUACAAAUGUGGUUAGGUGUGUUUGGUCUAUGGAAACUGAUCUUGAAGUCCCAAAAUCUGCAACUUUUGCUCUGUAUUUAUCAUCUAAUAGUAUGUUAGUAGUCUUGAUAUCGCGGUGGUAAAUUGGAAAACCAGCAGCCGAGUGUAAGUAUGAAAGAGCUCCGGCAACUUCUGCAGAAAUCCUUAAGCGCAUUUCCCAUGUAAGUGGAAACUCUUCAUUCUGUUCAUGGAGAUACUGGUAGAUAGUUCCUUUAGGAAUGAAUUCAUAAACCAAAAGAGGAACUUCGGUCUCCAAACAACAACCCAAUAGCUUAACCACAUUCCUGUGGUUAAUUUGUGAAAGAAUGACAAUUUCGUUAAUGAACUGUCCCACUUCGCCUCCAUCAACUAUUUUAGACUUCUUUACUGCAACAAUUCUUCCAUCUGCCAACAUUCCUUUGUAAACGGUACCUUGGCCUCCUUGGCCAAGUAUUCUAUCUACAUUAAAACGAUCUGUGGCUUUUUCUAGUUCCUUUACAUUGAACAGCUUAAUUUUCUCAACAUUAACUUCACCGGAAGAUAGUUGCUGCUCUAAUAAUAGUCCCCCAUUUUGUUUAAAGAACUCCUUCUUGAGUCUGAUGUUUUUCCUUUUCUUCCACAGUUUGAUCAACCACCAUGCACAAAAUAGUAGAACUAAGAAUCCAAGACCACUGCCAAUACCUGCUUAGGUCAAUUAAAAGAAACGUUAGUUCGGAUACUAAAGAUAUAACUUCUGUUAGAUUGUGAAAACUGCAGCAUAUGGACAUCUAGGAGAAGAAAAAUGAUGAUAACCAAAAGAAACUCAGGAAAUACAUAACUGACCGUCUGACCCAAAAUGAAGCUCAGGAGUCAGGAGUACUGAGUACAUAUGUAGUUCUAUACUUCUAUUAUAUUGUAUUCAAUAAAAAGUUGAAUUCCAGAAAAAACAGAUCCUGCUUAAUAAUCCAUAUCAUUCUACAAAAAAAAAAAUAUAUGAUCAUCUUCUGUACAUAUAUAAGGAACUUACAAGUAUAGAAUUUAUACUAAUCUAGUACUAUUGUGGCAAUGAUAAAGUAACACCAUAAUAACAUGAGAUAAUAAUGUUUAGUUAGAGUUUUUAUUGAUCAAGUCUCUCAUUUCAUAGAGCUCAAAUAUGAUAGUUAUAUACUUCUAUGAAUGAUUCAAAUGAUGAUGGCCACAACAUACCUAUAAAGAUUGCUUUAACCCGCGACUUGCUGAUCAUGGUUUCUGGGUAGUGGCAUCCCCAUCCACUAUCACCUGGAAGACUAUUGACACAUACGCCUGGAGAACAGCUAGCUCUAUUUACUGGAUCCUCACAUUCAUUGAUAUCUGAAAAGUGCAAGAACAAAGUUAUUAUUAUGAAUGACGGUAAGCUACUUGCUCUCUAAAACUAAAUUACAGGGAUUCAAGAGAAAUGAAUAAGUGUUUCAUUCAUAAAUAAGUCAGAAUACUUAUUGGUAGGUAAAGCUUAAUUGGAAUCGUAUGUUCACCUCUGCAUCCUUGAAGAAGAUAUGGAUUUCCCUCAGAGCCCCAUCUACAGAAACAUUCAAGCCUUGAGGAUCCAUAUAGUGAAGAGCUGUCACUGUAACUCUCGCAAUAACCAUCUAGGACAUCAUAAUAGUCUCUCGUUACAUUUUCUGCUAUAAAGGUCCCAAAAACAUCAGUUGUUGAAUGGUAUAAGUUCCAUCGUAGCACAAUGGGGACUUGGUCCAUAUCACCGGUGGCAGAAAUAUUUGUUGAACUUUUGGCAAAGGACUCGAACCAAUCACGAUCAACCAAAAAUGCAUAACUGCAUGAACUUUUUGUGAGAUUAUCAUUAGCCUGCUGGAAACUAGUAUUGAAGGCACAGAGAGAAGAAGGGAUGACGGUCUGGCAGCAAUCCACACCAUUGCAGGUAUUAGGGCUGGUACUACUAUUUGUACUAUCAACAGAAGCAUAACAUUCGGACCUGCACCCAGCUGAAAUGGUAACGCCAUUUGAGUUUGAGGUGAUUGUGGCCAUAACUCCGCAACCUACUGCAGUGAACAUGUUCUUCUGGGAGAAGAACGUAAAAGGGCUUCCCUCCAAGUUGACUGCUUGACGAUUUGGCUUACCGCUGCAAUUAGAGAAGGUGAUUGGGUUUCUGACCCUUAGUGUGCCUUCAACAACAGAAAUAUUUAGUACCUCCAGAUUGGUGCCGUUCAAGUAAGGUCUAGGAGAGCCAGUAGAGUUGUCACAGAACACUCGGAACCAGUCAUCAUUGAUGUAACAACCUGCUCCUAUCCCAAAAGGGUAUGGGAUUUCAAUGUCUCCGCAAUGCGAUGGACAAUUAGGCUUUGCUAUGGGUAGUGCUUCUGAUGCUUCUGAUGCUACUAGUACUUCAGUACUACUCAUAGACCAUAGUAACAAAGUAAUAUGAAAUAGCAACUGGGCAGCCAUUCCUUUUCUUUUUCCUAUUCUCUUGAACUAUCUGCAAGUAGGAAGCGUUAUGCUAGCUAGCUAGAAAAACAAUCAUAUUAAAUCUUAACCUUUCUUCGAAUGGAAAGAAUAUAUGAAGGUAAAGAGACAUUGAGUUCCUUGCAACUUCUUGCCGCUUUCUUCUGUCUAUCCCUGAGUAGAUUUCCAAGGAACGAUUCCUGCUAUUUUUGGUCAGUACAUUCUAAAAAUCAAACUUGUUGAAAACAUUAUAUCCAGCAUUGAUUCCAGAACGUCGACAUUUCCUACCUUGUAAAUGUUUUUGAGUUUCUUGUAUACCAGCUGGUUGGUCUUUCUUUUAAGGCCUUAAUUUCCUAAACCUAUAUGGCUAUAUCAUCAUUUGUUUAGAUUAAACGGAAAUUGACUGCAAUUUACAAGACAUGAUCAUAGAAAAGCACUGAAUCACAACCAUUGAUGUCUUUUUUUUUUUUUUGUUUUGGCUGAAAGAUGAGUGAGAGAGGAAUGACCCCCUAACACUCUUAUGUAUUAAAAAAGAAAAAAAGAAAUAUCAACCAUUGAUGUCUUUUCAUUUCCACCUUAAUUAGUUUUCCUUAGCGUUGUUCCAUACUUGCAGCAGUCAUACAGUCAUACUUGAACAAUAUAUUCAAAGUACAAUAAGAAGGUACGCAUCAGUCAAAAGAAGAAAAUUCAUCAGAACCAAAAACAAUAAUGUUGAAAGCAACACUCCCCUUUUUUUUUAUAUUGACUUAUUGUUACUGUUAAGUGUUCAAAAUUCAUUUCUCCCCCUCAAAAAUUUUAGUGCUCUCUCCCUCUCUCUCUCUCUGUCAAACAGUAAGCUCUUGCACAGUAUAAAUACUAUCCCAUUUCCUCAAAGACUAGAUAAAACAGUAACUUAAUUGAAUUGAUGCGAGGCAAUGAUAUAAAAGAAGAGUGAAUGAAAACAAACGCUGCGCGCCAUGGCCAUGCAUGCCAACAGAUGCAAUCGUUUUGACAUGGUCUUCUAUCUCCCACACAUACACGCGCAUGCAAACAGACCCAGUCAAGGGAUCCACCGGAAGGAUCACCCCCACAGACCACAAUAAGAGGCUUAAGAGCUUCUUGGGUGGCGACUCCGUUUGCUUGAUGGUGGUCGUGGCCAGUUUCAGUUUGUUAUGGCUUUGGGUGAACUAGAAAGUGGUGCUCUUUUUCCGCUUUGGUGCCAAAUGGGCCUAUUGGGCGAGAACCCAGACUAAAUUUAUAAGCCCACAAGGGCGAGACCAAUAUACCAAGCACAUGUGAUGGCUAGGUUAAUUAGGAACGGGGCGGCGCAGAUGUUACCACGGCCGUAAACGUCACAACCCACUGGCCACUGCAGUACCGAUCUAUAUCUUCUUCUUGUUAAUUUACAUGGUAAUCUUGCUUUGCAACUUUCAGUGUCUGUUCCAUUCAACUUUUACUUUCCUGUCUAUAAAAAACAAUCAAGUCCCGCUUUCACAUAUAUUUCAAGUGUCAUGAAACCGGCCAGUCCUAACCCUACUAGGAAUGCAUAGUAGAAGAGAAGGACUAGUGAAAUCGGCGGAUAAUGACAGUACCACUGCAGGUGUUUUGUCACAUCCCGACCCUUAUAUUUUUACCUUAUUUACUAGCGUGAUGAUAAUAAGAAUUUUACCGUCUUGAUCAUGAGUAAAUAGUUUAAUUGGUCCCUAGAGGGGUUUCGGGGACGAUUAUGUGCGGAGGAUUAUUCGUAUGAUGAAAAUACGAAGACGGUAAAAAUAGUAAAUUUAGCUAGUAAAAGGUAAUUUUAUUCGGGUAUUAUUNNNNNNNNNNNNNNNNNNNNNNNNNNNNNNNNNNNNNNNNNNNNNNNNNNNNNNNNNNNNNNNNNNNNNNNNNNNNNNNNNNNNNNNNNNNNNNNNNNNNNNNNNNNNNNNNNNNNNNNNNNNNNNNNNNNNNNNNNNNNNNNNNNNNNNNNNNNNNNNNNNNNNNNNNNNNNNNNNNNNNNNNNNNNNNNNNNNNNNNNNNNNNNNNNNNNNNNNNNNNNNNNNNNNNNNNNNNNNNNNNNNNNNNNNNNNNNNNNNNNNNNNNNNNNNNNNNNNNNNNNNNNNNNNNNNNNNNNNNNNNNNNNNNNNNNNNNNNNNNNNNNNNNNNNNNNNNNNNNNNNNNNNNNNNNNNNNNNNNNNNNNNNNNNNNNNNNNNNNNNNNNNNNNNNNNNNNNNNNNNNNNNNNNNNNNNNNNNNNNNNNNNNNNNNNUAAUUUGGGGAAACAUAAAUGUUUUAUUUAUUAUUUUAUUUUUGUCCACUCACUCUAACGUUAUUAAAUGUUUUCCCCUGGGCCCUUCGUUUUAAAUUGCCCAGUCUGCAGAGUUCGGGUUGGAUCUAGUAGGAGACGAGGCAUAGUCACCCGCAUUUCUGCCAGUUUUCGCCAGUAGGUUACCUGUUCAACCUACUCGUGUUUUCUUGCUUCCGCUUGUGUUUAGUAGCUCUGAAUACUUUAGAAUUUUUGUAUAUUAUGCGAGGUUCAGAAGUGGUAAAUUAAGAGUGUAAUUUGAAAUUUUCGAGUUAGGGUUGUCCAUCUGCAAGGGAGAUUUUCUUAAUCUUUUCAGUAAAUUUUCCUUGGAGGUGGUCCCCGCACGACUUACUCUGGGUUUCAGGGUGAAAUUCGGGGUGGGUCGUGUCAUGUUUGUUGAAAUGCGGCACUGGGACUUGAAAGUUGAUGAAAUGGUAAACACUUUUGAGUUUGAGGGUUGCGAUUGAUUCGAUUGAUCUGAUGAGUGUUUUUUGUGAUGAAAUUGUGCUAGGCACUCUACUAGUCUAGUCUUGCAGUGUAGCAGGAGCUUGGAAUUAUCAAAUGCGAAUGAUUCUCAAAUCUCAAGUAAAGAAGGCGCACUUGCAUAUACUUGUUACUAUGUUGUCUCAGUUUCACAUGCUAACAACUUCCGGGGAAGAAUUAUCGUACUAAUUCCGUCAAUUUUUUUUGUUAGAAUACUGAUGUUAACGACCACGUCAGCAAUUUAAUUGAGAAAAUUGACGGAAUGACCAUUUAAAGAUGAAAAAUUAUGACUUUAAGGACCAUUCAAAUUAAAAUAAAACCAAAAGGACUAAAUAGAUGUCGACUUCAAACCACAAAGACUAUACAAUAUUUUACUCUAUAUAUUGAUCAUUCCCGUGAGUCUUCAGAAAAUUCUAGCUCUCCGGGAAAUGAAACUAGGUAAAGAACUCAAAAAUUAGGGGAAGACGAUAGACACCAGCAGUAUUCACUCUGUCUUGAUAGACACCAGUGGUCGCAAAUCGAAUGAACUUGUACCACUAGAUUCAGUAACCAUAGAAGACGAAACUGAUGUAGAACCAACAUCCCAAACCUCAGUUAUUCCACUUCGGACAUAUCCAACAUCUGAAGUGUUUCGUUGAACAUUGUAGUCUUCCCCUUGCAGUUUAAAUAUUGCCUCCAAUUCCGCUACUACUUCCUUCAUAGCAGGACGCUCUUUUCCCUUCAUAUUCAAACAACGCAUAGCAAGGUUAGCAACUGCCAUAACCUCUUUUUUCUCACUGUUCAUAACUCGAGCAUCAAGAAUAUCAGACAAACGAUUCUCCUCCAUAGAUACUAGGAAAUAAUGUGACAAGCUCAUGGUUUCUUGUGACUUGGUCUGAAAAAUUGGCUUUUUUCCGGUCAAGAGCUCAGCAAGGACCACUCCGAAGCUGUAAACAUCACUUUUGUCUGUAAAUUGGCUAGUUUGGAAGUACUCUGGGUCCAAAUAACCAAAUGUUCCUUGAACUUGUGACAAUGUAAGGUGUGUUUUGUCGAUGGAAACUGAUCUUGAAGUCCCAAAAUCUGCUACUUUAACUGUAUACUUAUCAUCCAAGAGUAUGUUAGAGGAUUUGAUAUCGCGGUGGUAAAUGGGAGUAGUAGCUGCUGAGUGCAAAUAGGAAAGAGCUCCUGCGACUUCUUUAGCAACUCGUAGACGUAUUCCCCAUGUAAGUGGGAAGUCCUCAUUUUCGUGUUGUAUAUAGUGAGAAAGCGUUCCGUUGGGAAUGAAUUCAUAAACCAAAAGGGGAACUUCCGUCUCUAAGCAGCAACCCCAGAGUUUUACCACAUUCCUGUGGAUAAUUUGGGAAAGAACGACAAUUUCAUUGAUGAACUGUCUCAAUUCACUUCCAUUAGCUAACAAGGACUUCUUUACUGCUACGAUUUUUCCAUCUGCUAACAUUCCUUUAUAAACAGUGCCUUGCCCUCCUCGACCAAGUAUUCUAUCUGCAUUGAAACCGUCUGUGGCUUUCUCUAAUUCCUCCGAGUGGAACAAUUUAAGUUUUUCAAUACUAGUUUGAUCACCAGAAGAUGAUUGUUGCUGCAACAAUAAACCACCAUUUUGCUUAAAAAAUUUCUGCUUCCGCUUGAUGUUUUUCCUUUUCUUAAUGACUUUGUACGACCACCAUGUACCACCAUGUAGAAACAAUAAUCCAAGAACACAGCUGAUAACUGAAGAGAUCAACGAGAAAACAAGAAGGAUAACUUGGUAAGGGAAUUUUUAACAAUGAAAACUCUCUUAAUUCGCAAGAUUUAGAAAGGCAUACCUAGAAUGGCCACUUUAAGCCAUAAUGGACCACAAGUAAUUGGAUCCUCGCAUUCAUCAACGUCUGACAUUUAAAAGUUCAAGUUAAGUGAUUGCAGGUAGAAUAAAUAAUGUAUGUUGUUUUGAUGCAAACCAUAUAUUACUUCCAAAACAACAGAACUAUAAUUUCUGCAUAUAUACAAUGUAAAUGGUUUACCUCGACAUCCAUCGAUAAGGUAGGGGUUUCCCUGAUAACCUCGUGAGCAGACACAUUGAUGAGCACUUGUGCAGUUCAUGGUCGAAUCAUUGGUCCAAUCAUGUCUUCCAUAUAUUUGCACAGUUGAAUAACGAUUCAAGUUCCAAUCGAGCAAUACAGGGAUAGACAUAACAUUCUGGAUGGAAGAAAGACCGGUAGAAUCAUAAACCCACGACUCUUGGUCUACCAGAAAUGCGUACUUGCAACUUUCCGUUCCAGGGGUGGUUUUGUUUGAUGCUUCAAAGGUGUAGUUGAAGGCAGUAAGCUCCGGAGGAGUGUUGAUCUGGCAGCAGUUAAUACCAUUGCACCUAUCAAGAGUAUCCGGAAGUUUGCCACCAUCACCACAGACGGAGGGGCAGCUAGCAACUCUUGAACCGUUGUCGAGCGUCAUCCAGGUGGUACCGCCGCAUCCCAUUACAGCGAGUCUGUUUUUCUGGGAGAAGACAAACGGGCUUCCACUCAAGUUUGCUGGUUGGCCACUAUUUGGCCAAGGACAACCACAGAUAGGAUCAAGGAAGGUAAUGGGGCUCCUGACCGUUAGUGUGCCUUCAACAGAAAUAUUGAGCACCUCAAGGCUCAUUUGCUUUUCAGGGUACCAAAGUGUGGGAGUGGGAAUGCCGGUGAAGUUGUAACACUGGAUUCGGAACCAGUCUAUGUAACAACCUUCUUCAAUUCCAAAAGGAUAUGGGAUUUGAACAACUCCGCAAUUUGGUGUACAUUUAGGCUUUGCUAGAGUUACGGCUUUUGCACUAGUACUCGUAGGCCACAAGAACAGAGUGAUCACAUGAAGCAGAAACAGAACAGGCACCAUUCUGCUGCUUCUUACUCUUUGAUAACCUAUCUAUAUUCUUGCAGGAAGAUUGGAAUCUCAAAAUGAAGAAAAUGAUUCUAAGUGCUUGAAAUCCUGUUUCGAGAUUUGUGUUUAUAUAUUGGGUUUUCAGAGUGAGCGAUAGUUCUUUGCAUCUUCUCAAAGGGACUAAUUACGUAGUCUUCUCAACACGAGUCACAGAAUAAAUGUCUUCAUUGGAAAUUUUUCUUUUGACAAGUAAGAUCGAGGUGUUCAUUGGAAAUUUCUCUUCCAUAUGUGCUAUUAUGUCAUCUUAUAUUAUAGGGAAGUAGUCAAAAUUCAAAUCAGUGUUGCAAAAAAUCAGUAUUCAGAUGAAGAAAAGUAUCAUUGGCCUCUUAAUUUGCUUCUUCUUCCUCAAUUUCUUUAUUUUCCUAUCUUCGGUUGAUUAGGAAGCCAGUUUGAACAGUUUAGCCAUGAAAAGAAGAUGACUCUCAACUAGCCUAACCUUCUUCACAACAGCUUUCUUCUUUCCAGAUUAUAACGGUGCAUUAUAUGCAUGUUGGAAAGAUAUAACCAUUUUGAGAAACUUAUAAAGAAUUCAGAAUAACCAACCAACAUAAUUACAAAACAAAAUCUCUAGGAACGCCCCCUCCCAGCUGAUCCAAAUGGAACACUGGGGACACAGAAAGGAUUUUAGAGGAAAUCUUUAAGUUGAAGAAUUGUCUUCAGCAUAUAGGGACUGCAUACUGAAAGUUAGGAUCAAUUCUCAAAUUAGGUUCCAGAAAACCAUAUGUUCCAUGCACUGGUGUGGUAAGGUGGGUUGGGCUAGAUUGUAACAGUUCUUGAAGUGUUCUACUACAAGUUUCCAGUGGACCAAUUUUAAUAGGCCAAUUAGGUUGAAUGAUUAAGAUGUGGAUGUAGUGUUCUGGACUCUUCACAUGAAGAAAUAAUUGCAGAGGUUGAUGGAUGUCAUAUUCCUACAGUCCAUUAAGCUGGGAAGUUUUACAUUGAAUUAGUCAUAGAUGGAUUGCGCAAGUUUAGACUUAACAAUUUACAUGAUGAUGGAGCCACUCCCUUCUGAUCUUUUUCCCCUUGAAAGGGAGUGCUGGAAAUAAACCCUCACAGAAAGAUGAUCAUCACUUGAUCCUUCAAAAACUAAGCUGUUGAUUUAUAUUCCAUUUUCAGUUUUGAACAGUUUGAUACCUGACCUGACUCCAUUUUGAAAUUUACAUUCAAAUGUUUUUCCAAACAAUUGCUUUGAUUUGUUUUUUCCUCCUCUAUUUAAUCUAAUGGUAAACAAUAUGAUGUUACAUAACAAUGAUAACAUACACCGGAGUAUAGUAAAAUUUCCGUGUAUGAAGUUCCUUAUAUGGUCCCCGCCAAGUUCAAGUUUUCUUCACUUGCCGAUCUUUUCAAGCGAUCAGCAGCUUUCACAACCUACAAGUGGAAGUGAUCAAAAGUACUGAUAAAAACUUGACCAAAUGCAAUUCAGGUAUAUGAUUUACUUUGUUAAAAAGAUGUAUAACCUAGGUUAAUUACCUCAGCAUUCCAAUUUGUUCUGGCAGUGAGAAUAAUUAGAGUUAUUGUUUGUAAAGCAACGCCACCAAUCAUCCCCCACCAUAUGCCCUGAAAAAUUGAAGGCCAGAUUUCAGAAACCAAGUGUAAUGCCACUAGUGGUAAAAUCUGAGUUAGGUACAGAUUUCAGUACUUACUGAUACUCCCAUAUCAGUUUUGAAGCCAAGAACACAUCCUAUUGGGAGUCCAAUGAUAUAGAAACAAAUAAUGUUAACAUAAGCCACAAUGUCUUGCCAACCACUUCCAAUUGCCACACCUGAAAACAUUGACUCAUGAAUGUCACACCUGAUAUUUCAGAGUCUGGAAAUUUUUGAAUGGUGCUCAGUUCUAUCAUAAAAGUACCUGAGAGUAUAGGUUGGAUGCCAUUCAAGAAAACAGAGAUAGCUAGCAAGGGAAUCAAUUCAAUCACUGCUUCGAUAACCUCGGGGUCGCUUGUAAACAGUUUGCUUAAUCCAACUUGGAAUAUCACGAUGAUCACAGUGAAGACUACACUAAUCAGGAUGCUCGUACUGGUCACUACAAAAACCGAAAAUUUGGCCACCUUUGGAUUACCAGCCCCUAGCUCAUUGCUCACUCUAACACUGCAAAAGUAAGCCAAAAUCCCAUUGUGAGUAUUAUUACAUACAUUCUAGCUAUGCCUAUAUCAGACCAAAUAUCUUCAUAUUGAGAAUUUGUCACAAACCUGGCUGCUGCACUUAGGCCUAACAUAAACUGCAGACUCCAGUUCCAGUAAUUCAUACUGCAAUUAUAUCAGGUACAGAAAUCAGAUAUUUUUUAGACUUAGAUACACCUGAUCAAAUUGACUGUACGCAAAAUCGGAAAUGCGACAAAGACGUACCAAAUUGAAAGGGAAUCUAGAGAUAUUGUAGGAUUGGGGAGGAGCCCAGAUAUCAGGGUUAGUCCUUGGUUGUACCAUAUCUCCAAACUACAAUAAUGCAUCAUCAGGAAAACAGUUAUUACUUUUUACUCGAGUUAAAACUUACAAAAAGGUUGACAAACAUUAUUUACAAGUUGUAUGCUAGAUUUGCAGGAUAGUAUAUAGCACAUACCAUAGCAUGACGGCAGAGGAAAGAGUCAACUUUAAAUAAGGCCAAAUUCCAUUGAAGGCUUUCCAAGAGAAACCAGUCCAAGUUUCCUUGCAGUUGGGGCUUACAAGAAUGUAGAUCCCACAUAUAAUCACAAGCAACCACCAGGACAAACUCAGUGUUAGAGCAGCACCAGUCAGUCCAUAGUCCACAACAUAUAUCACCAGCCAACUGAGAAGAAUAUGAAGGGCGAAAACUCCGGCAGAGAUGUAAGCCAAAGGGUUCACUACGUUCUGUGCUUGAAGGAACCUCUGCUGCGGGCAGUUUAUGGCAAAUGCAUAGAGCUGAGGGAUCAAACCGUGUGCGAAGAUUUGACCCUGAAUUGCUAUGUCCUCUGAUUGGCCUAUGGCUAUGAGUAUUGGCCCUGACCACCAGUACACAGGUGUGAGGAGGAUCGCUGCUCCCAAGUGCAAGAUGAUUGCUCUUUGGCAUAUGAUCCCCAUUGCUCCCAAGUGUUUGGCUCCAUAGGCUUGCCCACAUACUGUUUGUACAGCACUUGCCAUCCCCAGCUUGAAAUUCAAAGCAACAAUUCAACUAAAAUUAAUUAGAUGAUGUAAGUGUGUAUAUAAAUUAAGAUUGAUUGUAAGUGAUGCAUGUCCUUUAAAACACAUGACAUGCUCGCCGAAUAAAUAGAGUUUAAAUGAGAUAUUUUAAAUAGAAUUUAAAUAAGAUAUUUAAAAAUGUGAUUUAUUUAACAUUAUUCAUGUAACGUGUCAAAUUAUAAUAGACGGAAACUUUAAAAUAUACUCAGGUACGUACCAUGAUACCAUAAGCAAGACCUUGUAUUCCAACACUAGCAAUGGAUGCACCAGCGAGCUCCAAAGAGCUCAAAUGCCCACAAAAUAUGAGAGUGACGAAACUCAACAUAUAAUUGAAAACCGAAACAGCAAUCGACGAACCGGAUAAAAGCCAUAGGAGUCUUGACUCCCAAGCAACCAGCCGAGCCCAGUAUCGAAACGCCACCCGCCGCGGUUGUUCAAGGAACUCUUCGAUCAUGGCGGAUGGCAGGUCGGAAAUGCGAGACGUGGGAGAGUCGAUUCCAUGUAGCAGUGGCCGCUGCUCUUCGGAUCCCAUGGUUUCCAGUUGGUAAGGCGGAAUGUAUGUGUUAAGACUGUUAGUGUUACCCCAAGUAGUGGUAGGAAUAAGGCAUAUAUACGAUGUGUGGAUAUUAAGAAAAUGACAAAGAGGGCACCUACCCCCGCGAUUUGUGUUAGGCACACUUACCAAGGUCAUCGUAUUGAACUAGUAGAUCGAGCAAUUGUUUUAGCUAAGCACAUGCACGGACUCGGUCGGCAGAUAUUUAGCGAACAAACCUUUCUUAGAUUUGACGUUUUUGUUUAUUCUGUAUUGUCCGCUCAGUAGAGCAUAAUAUCAUGCUAGCUUUAGAAAUUCUUUACAUUGACUAAUGACUAAUGUUGUUAUUGUCAAAAAAAAAAAAUGACUAAUGUUGUUGGCGUUACAUUUCCCAGCUAUAUUUUGUGUUUUUGAAAAAUGUGGCUUAAAUUGAGCUAUUUAGAAUGCCCAUCAGAGUACGUGAAAGAAUGGUACGAUACACAUGCACUAAUGCAGUGUUUUUUUUUAUUAUUAUUAAACUUCGUACCUGAUUUUGAUCGAGUGUGGCUAAAGUGAGGAGGGUAUAGACGUUAUAUAUGUAAUUGAUAUUUUAUGAUAUUUACGAAAUUAAUUUUGAGUAUUAAUAUUCACUGAAAUAAGUUAAAGUUUUCACUAAGAUUUUUAUUUGAAGUAUGUAUUACUUUUUCAUGUAACUACUAAUUUUGUUAAAGCCGAAAUUUUGAACUUUUUUCAAAGAUACAAGAUCACCGGACAAUUCUUACAACUAACAGUCUAACAUGGAUAUCCCAAAUUCAUUAAUUUUUUUUAUUCAUACAAGCUAGAAAACUUUAGGAGUAAUUUAAAAGAAAAAAAAACUAUAAUAAAUUUUUUUUUUUUUUAUCAAAAUCAUAUGGUUUCUCAAAAACAUACUCAGAUUAGAGAUGAAACCUCACCAUGACUUAAGAGAACACCACCUCUCUUGACCACCAGUAUGUUUUUUUUUUCCGGGGGCGCCAACAUGAGCUUUAGUGAAUGAAAAUCCCAGAAGAUAUAACCCUAAUUAUAAUAACAAACCUCAUAACAAUAAUACAAUGAAAGGGCAUUAUGUAUAAAUAUUCUGAUUGGAGGUGGUGUUCUUGCCCCAAGUAAAAUUUUCACGACCGGUUGAUAUACUAGAGCCAUCUUAUAUGCAAGACGCUGACACUUGACAUGACUUUCAUGUCAUUGUCUCUCAACAAGAUUAAUCCUUGACUUUCAUCUUCACGACUAUGCAGUCUAUGCAGAUGCUCUCCUACUAAUCUUUGUGUGUCAAUUGAAUGGAAGGUGAGCUCUGGUUAAUAAGAGUAGUGCAAGCCGAUUCUAACAACAAGACGACAAGAUUUUUCAUUCUUAAUUUUACAUCACCAUCAUUUCAGUAAAUGUGCUACUUUUACAAGCUUGGUCAUCAUUUUAGUAAAUUUUAGUGCUACUUUUACAAGCUUGGUUUGGUUGGACUCUGCUCAGCUUUCAUUCUUAAACACUUCACCAAGUAUCUGUGCUGUUUGGCCAAAAGAAAGAGAAACAAACAAAUAUUUGUUCAGAGGAAGUUGAAAGGCAGAGGCUGAUUGUACAUAUAUAUGGUGAGGAAGAAGCUUAUCCAGCUAUACUUUCCAAAUAACAAAAUCCUGUUGAUGUUAACAUGACAAGGAAAUCACAAUUAGACAGGUUUGAUUUGUGUAGAAACUCAAAAGAUUAUAGCUAAGCUGGCAAGUCCAUUACUGGAAACCUUUUCCAUUGUAUGAAUUGACAUUGAAAUGAUGAGUAACUAGGAUAUAACAAGUGUUUGCAAUUGCACAACCGGAAGAAUGGAAGGAGAAGGACAGCAGAUUUUCUUUCUUUUGGUACCUGUGGCAGGAGGACACACCACAACAAUGAUGGCCAAAGGCCACAUUUGCUUUACCACAUAUAUUUGCAAAUGUGGGAACUUCUACUGUUUAGGGUCGAACCCAUCCCUUUUGGUAUUGCAAGUGAGACAUCGUCUUUUAUCCAAAAAAAAGUGAGACAUUGUCCCACAAUUGCAUGCAAUCGUGGCUAAGGAAUACCUGACAAGGCUCUCCUCUCUCUCCUCUCUCUCUCACCUUUCCGUGCUCCCACUGUCCCACACUUGUAUCUUAUCUAAUUCUUUUCCAAUUCUUGUCUUAUCUCUCUCCUUCACUUAGGUUCGUCCGCCUCUCUCUCUCUCUCGCUUCUCUUUCUCUCUCUGUGGGCAAGACAAAGCUCCGACCGCCUCCGAUCCGACUUUCGACUUCGAGCCAACGACCGCUGCGGACAUCACUUUCGUUUGGUAACUGACCAAAUUCUCGGUGCUUCUCUAUCUUUUUCCUUCCUCAGUAUUAUAUAUCUUCCCAAUUCUGGAUUUAAGUAAAAUUUGGUUCUUUUUCAGACUUGAAGAAAAAGAUGAAGCUUUGAGAUUUGGGGUCCAGACUCUUCACCGUCAACACCCACCCAUUAUGGAUUUGGGAUCUUGUUCAGCCUCAGCUAUAGUGAAAAAGCCCCAGCUCCUUCUCCACUAGUGAUAGUGCUGCUAAAUAGAUCCAGGAAUUGCUUACAUCGGUGAUUGUGAUUUUUGGGUAAUUCAAACCGGGUUUUUUUUUUGGACAAAAAAAAAACUGGGUUUUUGGUUCAAGUAUUCAUCUGUUUCUCUUUAUCGUGAUUAAAUUGGGUGAAUUUUGAUGUCAUAUAUUUAAUUUUUUUAGUACCUUGAAAUAACUUGGUGCAAAAGAACAGGAGCUAAUCCUUGACCUGAUUCUCUCCAUGUAAAGAUGUCAUUUUGUAUUCAUAUUACUUGGUAAUCGAUUUCUAUAUAUUGUUUGUUUUCUUGUCCGAUUGACAGGAAUACUAACUCCUUGAUGAACUCCUUGUAGGAAUUGAUACUAGAUCUCUACCAAUACUGGAAUCUCCUUGAAGAACUGUCAAGAACAAAGAUAAAUGGAGUUAAUUCAGAAUUUAAGGGCCCCUUAAUCAUCAAUUGAGGAUGAACUUAUAAAAUAAGAAUUAUUAAUAAAUAUUGCCCAAAAAAAUUGAGACAAUAUUAUAUUUCAAACCUGCCCAUAAAUGUCAGAAUUCAAUCAAAGCCACAUUUUGAUGUAAAUGUGGGUUUUCUCUCAUUGCCACACUUCUUGAGCGCACACUCCGAAAAAAUGUAGCUGCAGUGUGGCAAUGGGCCUUGGCCACACACAAAUGUGGGUAUUCAGUCUAAUUUUGCCGCACACCUUACUGUGGAUGUUGCUCACAUUUGUAGUGGUGACAACAACAUGUAUAUAUAUACUUUCAAAACAACAUGUAUAUAUAUAUAGUUUAUGAAUUUUGCGAGUAAUGUUCCUCCAGCUACAACAAAAAAUUCAUUUGUCGAAUUUCAUCUAGUUGACUCCACAAGAGAAAUAUGACUAUGAAAAAAAUAAAAAAUAAAAAAUCACUCAUACUUGAAGGACAAUAAAGGUUGUGCAUCUAAUAUUGAAGAACCUGUACCAGUACCACUAUCCAUAUAUGAUGACACUGUUGAUGAAGAACAAGCAUCCCAAGCCUUGGUCAUUCCAUUCGUUCGACCAUAUGCAAUCUCUGAGAAGUUUUGUUGAACAUCAGAAUGAGCUUUAACCGACAAUUGGAUUCCCUCCAACUCCACCGCAACUUCUUUCAUAGUAGGUCGUUUUCUCCCAUUCAAAUUUAAGCAUCUUUUUGCAAGGUUAGCAACUGCCACAAUUUCUUCUUCCCGACCAUCCCUUCUAACUCGACUAUCGAGAAUAUCGAACAGGCAAUUUCCUUCCAUUGAAAGAAUGAAAUGAUUUGCUAGGCUUCUCCAUUCUUCUGAAGAUGUUGGAGAAAUUGGCUUUUGUCCUGUCAAGAGCUCAGCAAGGACCACUCCAAAGCUAUAAACAUCACUCUUGUCGGUAAAUUGACUGGAUUGGAAAUAUUCUGGGUCUAAAUAACCAAAUGUUCCUUGUACUCGUGUCGUAAGGUGUGUCUUAUCUAUGGCAAUAGAUCUUGAUGUUCCAAAGUCUGCUACUUUGGCUCUAUACUUAUUAUCCAACAAUAUGUUAGAAGACUUGAUGUCUCUGUGGUAUAUAGGCAUGGAGGCAGAUGAAUGUAAGUAUGAAAUAGCUCCUGCAAUUUCCAUCGACACUCGUAGGCGCAUUUCCCAAGUGAGAGGAAACUCUUCAUUGUGGUGAUGAAUAUACUCAGAAAGUGUUCCAUUAAGUAUGAAUUCAUAAACCAAAAGAGGAACUUCCGUCUCUAAACAGCACCCCAAUAACUUAACCACAUUCCUAUGGUUAAUCUGUGAAAGAAUGACAAUUUCAUUAAUGAAGUUUCCUACUUCACCUCCUUCAAGUUUUGUAGACUGUUUCACAGCAACGAUUCUUCCGUCGUCCAGCAUUCCUUUGUAAACAGUACCUUGGCCUCCUUGGCCAAGAAUUCUGUCCACAUUAAAGCGGUCAGUAGCUUUCUCCAACUCCUUCGCAUUGAACAACUUAAUUUUUUCGACAUUUACUUCACCAGAUAACAGUUGUUGCUCCAACAAUAAACCACCAUUUUGUUGAAAAAACUUCUCCUUUUGCUUUAUGUUCUUCCUUUUCUUGAUGGCUUUGUGCAACCACCAAGCAACACCGAGUAGAAACAGUAGUCCAAGAACGCUGCCGAUAACUGAUUAGCACAGACACAGAUAAGCAUAAUUUGGUCAGUAUGGAGCUGUCCUUCUGAUUUUGUAAAGAAUUUAAGUUGCAACCAAUUUUACAAUUCUGUAAAGCCAUAAAAGUUAAAAAAUGAAUAGACAAGUUAUUGUUCCAACAUCCAAGUAAAGAAAAAGCUUUAGCCCAUACCUAUAAAAGCCAGUUUAACUGGGGACUUUCUCUUCGGAGAGUAACAUUCUGCGUAACCAGGAUGAUUCUUGCAUGCAUAGGUCACGGGACACUGCCGGUUUGAAGCCAAGCAUUCAUUUAUGUCUGGGUAUUGAUAUUGCAACACAAAACAGGGAGAAGAAAAAAAGUAAAAUAAAGAUGGUAUACUUUCUUGAUCAGAAAAUAAAUUAAAAAGUUUAUUCCUGGCUGUAGAACAAAAUCAAGUCCUCAAAUUAAUGAAAACUCAUCAUUUUGUUUCGUUAGAACGACAAUUGAUCUAUGUCACUCACAUAAAUGAGUAUAUACAUUUCUUCUCAACUUAUCCAUCCAGAGAAUAAUGUGCAGUGCUCGUGUUAUAUCUUAUUUAAAGCAUGUACUAGUAGUGGUGGUUUACCUUGACAUCCAUGAAGGAGAUAGGGGUUUCCUUCAAAGCCAGUUGCACAGAAACAUUCCAGCCUUGAGGAAUUAAAUGUUGGAGAGUAGUAGUCACUGUAUUCCCGGCAAUUAACAAAUCUAUCAGAAGCAAUUGAGGAGGUUCCAAAUACAUCAGGGAUCGAAUGAUAUAAGCUCCAGUCUAACAUGGCAGGCACAUCAUCCAUAUCACUUAUUCUAGCAGAUAUAUUAUUUGAAUUGUCAGCAAAUGACUGAAACCAUUCCUGGUCUGCCAAGAAUGCAUAAUUGCAUGGAUUUGUUGUAGACACGAAACUGGUGUCGAAGGUAGAGAGAAAGGAAGGGACAGAGGUCUGGCUGCAAUCCGAACCAUUGCAGGUACUGCUGCUGAUGGUUGCAUUGGAGGCAAAUCCACACUGGGACGAGCAUGUAGCCGAGAUGAUCAAGCCAUCUGAGCUAGAAUUCAGCCUAGCCACAACACCACAACCAACUACUGUAAAUCUGUUCUUUUGUGAGAACACAAAAGGGCUUUGCGACAAGUAGGCUGCUUGCCGAAUUGGCUUGUCACUGCAAUUAUCAGAGACCGUUAUCGGGUGUCUGACUUUUAGAGUUCCUGCAACAGAAAUUUCCAAUACCUCAAGAUGCAGACUGGUGUAGUUCAAGUAAGGUUUGGGUGGGCUAGUUGAUUGAUUACAAAGUAUUUUGAACCAGUUGUCUACAUAACAACCUUCUCCAAUUCCAAAAGGAUAAGGGAUUAAAACGUUUCCACACUGUGAUGGACAAUUAGGCUUUGCUAUUAAGGGUUGUUGUGCUUCUAUAGCAGUAAUAAUACACCACAAGAACAGAGUAAUAUGAAGUAAAAACUGCACAACAUCCAUUCUUCUACUUCUUCCUCCUCACCUCUACUGUAAUUACCUGUCUUCUCUCAGGUUCAAAGGUCGGAACUAGGUAGUAGCCACGCUAAUGUUUCUUAAAGCAUCAAUCUAAAGCCAAAGCCAACAGACACAGUAAAUUGGGGUAGCUAGAGAUUGUGCUUACUAUAUAUACAGUGGUCAAGGAUAGUUCCUCGCACGACUUUCCUACUGUUGAUCCUUUAUUAAGUGCUAAGUAAAUCAAGACAUAAAAAGCGAUUGAAAGAAUCAAUCAAGAUGGACACCGAGUGUUGUACUUAUUCUAGCAGCCAUGCUUGACAGACUCAAAACAGAAGAUUCACCAUGGUAGGCGAUGCGAUUUCUGGCUCUGUAUGCCGCACAUUUCAUAAUAAAAAUUAAUAUAAUUAGCUAGACUAUUCAAUCACUUACAGUCUAGAAAGAACAGUAUUUUUUUUUUUUUUUCUUUUCAAGGAGAGUUAGAAAGUAGAGAUUAAUACAAAAGUAGAUAUUAAGUAUAUAUUGGUUUCCAGUGACUUGAGCAAAGAGCAAGAGUAGUUGACUGGUAAAACAUACAUGUACCUGACAAGUCAAAAUCUCUGACAACUAUUACCCAUGAAGAAUCUGGUCUUCAUCUGAGACCCAUAAGCAUGGGCGUAGGAAGAGGGGGGCGAGAAGGGUCAGUUGACUUUUCUCAUACAUAAUUUUUGGUUAAUUAGUUAAGUGGUCUGUAUAGAAAAAUAGAAAUGACUCUCCUAUUAAGUUUCUAUAAAUGACAUUACUUUCAUUUCUAAUGGUAAUGUUUGAUAAAUUUCUUCACAGUUUCUAUAAAUACAAAGGAAAAAGGAAUUCAUAAUCGAUAUUUCUCUCAUGUAUCAAUCUAAUGAGGUAAUUUAUAAUGUUAGGUAUAAACCAACGAUUAAAAGAUUUUCUAUGAAACGACUACGUAUUGAUAUUUUGUCUUAAUUAAUUUAAGGAUUAAAUUAAGUUUGUCCCCUCGUACUUUAGGUCAAUAAUUAGUUUUGUCCCAUAUCUUUUUUUUUAAUAACGUUGGUCCUUGUACUCUCAAACAUCAUCAACUAAGUCCAAAAUUUUAAUAUGGCUUCAAAAAUAAUAUUAUUUGCUGACUUGAAACUGACAUAGGGAUCCACAUUUGAGUUUUUUAACCUACAAAUAGGACAAAUAAACAUUCUAACGAUGAAAAAAAGUCAUUUUUCAAGGACCAAACUCACCCAUUUUUGCAUUAAAAUUUAAAUUUUGGACUUAGAUGAUGUCAUUUGAGAGUACAAGGACCAACGUUAUUAAAAAAAAAGAUAUGAGACCAAACUGAUUAUUGACCUAAAGCACGAAAGGACAAACUGAAUUUAAUCCUUAAUUUAAUAGUCACUUAAGUCUUGACCCUUCUAAAUCGAGUUUCUAACUACGCCACUGCCCAUAAGACUAUUAAACCUACUGGUGCAUCCAGAAACCUGGGACUGAACUCAUUUCUUUAACAUAGCUCGGCAUCUCCCGUACUUGAUCAAUUCAACAUUAAGCAAAAUCAAUCAAAUUUCAUACCUUCAACCAAACACGUACCUAAAGAAAUAACGUUCAACGCAUGCAAUUGGGGUCCUGGAUUCCUCAAAUGCACAAUCGUCCAAAGCAACCCUCUUUCUGGAGCUCAGGCCCUUGUGGAGCCCCAACAGUGUGGAGAUUCCAUUUUUAACUCCAAGGAUUGGUCGUGAGAACCAAUUUAGGGGUUUUGAUUAUGAAAACGAAGACCAGUGGAGGUGCAAUGUUGACUUUUAUAGUUGACCCUAGUGGAGGACAGCUGUAAUAAUCUAGUUGGAGACUUCCUUAUUUUUCUCUUUCUUUCAUUCUGUGCUGUAAUAAUUGUUAGAGUAUCUCUAACUAUAAAUUGUUCUUCAGGCUUGUAUUCUGGUACGCUUUGCUUUAUCUGAAAAAAAUUUCUGAAAGGUUCCACAAGGUUCUCUCUCCUUUCUUUCUUUCAUUUUAGCAAAGCUUGAGAUUCUAGGGUUUGUUUGACCUAUGGCUAUGAUGUUAUCAGAUUAGAGCAGAGGUUAUGCUCAGGGCCGGUCCAAUGUUUUGAAGGACCCGGUGCGAGAAAAAAAUUAAGGCCUUUUGUGUUGAGAAAAAAAAAAAAUUUGAAAGAACACUGAUUCCAUUUUGAAGCCCCAGCCUCAAUUGCUUUCAAACCUCCAAGCUCUCUUCCUUUGCUUCUAAAUUUACAAACCAAUACAAGGAACAAGUUGUUAAAUUUAUUAUGUGUAUAUUCAAUUUAUGUAUAAAAUUGUAGGAAAUCAAAACAAUACCUUUAGGGAAUAGAACAAGAGAGUUUGAGUGUAUAAACAAAGCCAAUUAAGAGAUAGGAGUUGGGAAAUUUGAAGAUGAAGAUAGGAAGUAUGAGUACCAGGAGGAAACAGAGAGUAGAGAGACGGAGGAACAACGAUCAAACCGAGGUGAUCAAUAAUUGAAUAGGGUUUUUUUUUUUAAUUCACGACUAAACCUAAUAGAAGAAGGGAAAAAAAAGGAAAAAAUAAAAAAACUGCAGGGGGCCUCGCUCGAACUACUAACUUGCUUGCCGCAUCAAACAAAAACACCCCCUAAACCAACUCAACCAGACACUCAGUUUGUUAAUAAAGAUAAAUUAUUAUAUAUAUAUAAACUUCCACUGGACAAAAAAAAGGGGCCCCUUGCCGGCCGGGGGCCCUGUGCGGCGGCGCCACCUUGACCGCCCCAGGGCCGGCUUUGGUUAUGCUGAAUCCCUAAAUAGAUGCGAUUGGGCGGGUCGCAGGAGGAAGACGGCAGCAUUUGAGCGGGUAAAAUGAUUUAUUUACCAUACAAAAUGGGGAACUGCCACGUGUUCGAAGGGAUUUAGAAAACCGUAAAUUCUACUUUAGACCCCUAUCAACUGUAACUAAGGUAUUUUUUUGUUUUGUUUUUUGAGGUAAAUGAUCAGUGGUAAAUGAAUCUCAACCGUAAGGUUUUCAGACCAAAAAAAUCAACCGUAAGAUAGAAUACCAUAGUUGAGAUACAUUUACCUCUCACUGAUCAUUUGUCUCUUGAAAAUUUUCAAAUAGGUGUGCAGGAUUUCUCACACUUACUGUGUUAUGAAAUCUCCAUUCAUCAACAAUUAUAAAACGAUGACGAAAUAUUGAUGAAAUCUCAUUCAUCAGCAUAUAUUGGUCGUCUUUAUGUGUUAUAGCGAAACAUCGUUUUGAAUCUUAAUUAAUAGCAUGAAUCUUAGAUUCUUAAUACAUGAUGUUGUUAUUUUGGGUCUCUCCAUGCACUCUUUAUCAAAAUAACAAGUGUUUUUGGAUCAAGCUCUAAUUUCUUCCCAACAUAUAUGUCCAAUUAAUAUUGAUGUAUUCUCUCUGAGUUAGUAAAUUAUCUAUUUCCAAUCAAACAAAAAAGUAGCUAACAAAAGUUAUGUCUACAGUAAUUUCUUCAAUACCAAUAAAAAAAACAACUUCAGCUAGUAGUCUAGUACGCACAACCUAUUUCCAAAUUGUCAAACAAACAGUACUACAAGCAGAUAAAAGUAGAGAAUCUCUCAAACUGUAGCAGUGGGAUGAUGUUUAUAAUUUCAAAGAUUAUUCUAUUUGAUGUCUACAAACAUAAAUAACAAAAGUAGAAUAGUACUGCAAUCUUGAAACGUAUGUUCUUUGGGAGAAAUACAAAACACUACCUGACCACAUUUUAAAUAACAAAAUAGUCCACAAUAAUUUUACUUAAACAGUUUAGUCCUACUCUUUUUUUUUUUACUGUACUUUACCUAAAUAAGUUCUUAAGAAUUACUGUCCUAAGAACUAGCCUUCAACAUGCCAUCUUUUCACCUAACGACAUCUUGUCUUUCUGGUUACUUAUCUUGACGGAAUCACUGCUGCCUUAGUCUAGUAAAACUUCUUAAUACUUACUAGUAAAGAGAAAGGAAAAAAAAAAA